CCGGAAUGAGUAAUGGGCCUUCACCUCACAGAGGCACAAAUUAGGGUUUCAGAGGCGCUCCUUCCCCUAUAAAGCUCAAAAAAACUCCCAAGCUUUAUCAUCAAGUAUUCUUAACCCAGCCUUUUAUUUGCUUCAAUGGUGUUCACCGUUUCUCUGUUCACAUUGGCGUAAUUGUUUUACUUUCUCUUCUUUUCUGUUUUACUUGCACGUAGCCUCCCGGGCUCAUCUGAGUUUACAAAGUGAAGUUAGAAGCCCCAAAGCUCGUGCUAAAUUUAACCGCCGCUAGUGUUGCAGUUUAGCCCUUUGUACCUUCUAUUCAUGGCUAAUUUGUGUCAAAUCAACGGCAAAAUCCUCAGAAAAUUCUCUAAUUUCUUAGAAUUUGGCGAUGAUUAAAACGGAUUUAUCCGCGCUUCUGAGAGAAAUCGAUGAAGCAUAACAUAAAUUGGUUGAAUUUCUUGAUAUGAGCUAGAUUCAUCAUUCUUUUUUUCAUUACAUAUUUUGGCAGUGAUGAUUUCUAAUACAGCUUUAAUGCCAGUUCUGCUUCUGAUAUUCUGUGAUUGAUAGAGCUGUUUAUACUACUGAGCCUCUUAAUCUCAUUUUAGUUAAUCCUUUUUCUUUGUUUAUAUUUAAAUCUAUGACGAGAUCUGAAAUUGCUGGAUAGUAUUUGAGAUUGCAACUAGCAUUCAUCAUGAAAUUAUUUAAUUUCUCCGAGAUUCAUAAAUUUGCCGAUGAUGAUCCAAUCCAACGGUGAGGUGUAGUGGAUCUAAGGUCCCUGCUUUUGCAGGGGGAACCUCCUUAUUUUCACUACAUCAAUCAUGAUCACAACGGAUUUUACUGAGGCUUUUUUCAUAGUUUUGUUCUUAAUUUUUUUUGAGUUUUAACUAUACUCUUGCUCUUGAAUAUAUUAGUGGGUUUAGGGUCUGAAAAACUCGAAAAAUUAGUGCUGUUUAUCAGCUUCUUCUCUUGAAUAAUUCAACGAGAUGGAGUUAAAUCAUGGCACUAAAUGUUUAUAAAUUUUUUGUAAUGCAUUGAGUUUUACUCCAUUUGUAUUAUGCUCACUUUUGUGGUUGAGUGUAAAUGAAAACUCAUAAAUUGCGUGCAGUCCAUCACCUCCUAUCUUGCAUAUUUCACUAAGAUUGGAGUUAAAUAUCAGCACUACAUGUUUGUAAAAUUGACUAUUAAAUGUUUGAACAAUUUCAUUUUUAUAAUUUCACUAACUGUAACUAAAAUUUGUUUUAUAAAACCAAACAAUACUAGCAGGACAACUUGUAUAAGGAGUAUUGAUGAAAUGUUGCGCGCAACACAAAUCCUAGUUGUGAUAAUGAGUAUUGAUGAAAUGUUGCGCGCAACACAAAUAUAAUAUGAGGCAUUAAGAUAUUUCACUUUUAUUAAUACCUAAUUUGCACGACUAUUAUUGUUUAUUUAUGAUGGUUAAUUGUGUUGUGUAUUGUGGAAGACAAACUUGUGCAAAAAUGAAUAAGAAGAAAGGUGGCAUGAAAUCAGUCGAUGAGAAAAGAAAAGAACAAUCUAAAACUGAUUGUGUGCCCUUAAGAAUUAAGAAUUUUAAGAAGCAGUAGUAAUUUAAACUUCGAUAACUUUAACAAAUGCAAACAAUAGCAACAUAGACUUGUGUUUAGGAAGAAAAUAUAUCUAAAAGAAUGAAAAAUAACUCUUUGGAAAAGGCCCAAGGCACAAUUGAUGAUAAAUUAUCAUGCAGUUGCCUUUUGAAGAUUGUCUAAAAAUCAAUAAGGGUAGCCUUGUUUGCCAUUGAUGAUGAGGUAAUAAUCACCUUUCACAACAACACUAUGAGAGCGAAAGUCUUGCGUAGCCAUUGAUGACAAGGUGAUCACCUUUCACAACACUAUGAGAGUGGAAGUACAGUUCAAUAAAAUGUUCAUAAUCAUCUGGUAUCUAAGUUCAUUUUGUAUCUAAUUUUGCGGAUCUAAAUCUCACCAGACCUCCCCCUUCCCAAAUUCACUGUUGCAUCUCCUAAAAUAUAAAAAAAAUCAAGAAAAAAAGUCUCAAGAAAUCAAAUACAAACCAACCAGAGGGGAUUUGCACUAUUUUGAGGGAUGAAAAACCCUUUUCCAUUGCCUCUUUUGCUGCCUCUUUUCACUCAUUAAUAUCCUCGUCUAUGCAACUUAUGAGGAAAAAUAGAGCAUCACUCCAUAUGAAGUGAUCCAAUCUUUGUUGCAUAACACACUUGAACAAAAGUUCAACUACUUAAAAAUAGCAAUUUUGGCAUUCUGCUAAAAAAUAUUCUAAGUACCUGGCAAAAGUCACUGUUGGAGAACUUUAGCUGAUUGUUAACCAACUGAAAGAAUGGGAGAAAAAAAAUGCACAAACGAAAAAGGGCAAAAGACUAUCAAGAAAAUAGCCUCUGCAUUUCUAAUAUGAACAUGUCAACUGCUGGAGUUACAAAGGCUCCAAUUGGAAAGAAAAAAAAGGUGACUAAGACCAUUCAAAAAAUAUCACCUCCCUCAUUUACCAAUAGACAAUAUAUAGUCAGAUCACUAGAAGUGCGUCAAUUUGUUGAAUUUUGUUCCACCUUAUUGCGGAAUAUAUGCACCUUCAGUAUAAGUUCAUCAGCCUGAAUGUCCUUGAUCAACUCAAAGACACAAGCAUCUCCUAACACUAAACUAUUAUCCCUAACAAAAUGUACCCAUCCUUUGCUUAGAAACAUACACGUUUUCCUCCUAAGGCAAUGUGCAGUCCACUUACUGCCAUCAGAAUUUUGAAGUUUAAUUGGUUCUGAAGUCUUUGGCAUAUAAUCUCGGCUAAAAUCAGGUGGGAUAUUCUGCAGAUUAGGACAAAUUGCGAAGUAUGUGUCAAGAUUCAAUAAGAAUGUUAAAUUAGUUUUUACAUGAGCAAAGAACAUAUUAAGAUACAAAGAAGUUUCAGCCAAAAAAAACAAAAAAAUCAGACACCUUUAGUUUAUUGUAUAGGUAGACAGGCUCACCAGAAUAUAGUUCCGCACCACGUGAUAUUCUCCAAGAGUUAUCAUGAAGUAAGGAUUCUCUGGCGUAAACAUUUUGGCAGCAGUAGUUGCGCUGUUUCCUUUUGCAUCCCUUAGUCGUCUUCCUUUACGACGAUUACCAGAGCUUCCAUGCACUACGGAUUUCUCCUCUUGCUGUCUAGAUGAAUUCUCUGUAUCUGCAAUUCAUCAAAUUAGCUCUCAGUGAUGCAGAUAAGUUUUUCGAGCUUCAGAUAUUCUGUUGGCUAAACAAACUAACCAGUGUUUGCUUCUGCAUCCCUUGGUCGUCCUCUUUUACGACGAUUACCAGAGCUUCCAUGCACUACGGAUUUCUCCUGUUGCUGCCCGAAUGAAUUCUCUGUAUCUGCAAUUCGUCAAAUUAGCUCCCAGUGAUGCAGAUAAGUUUUUCAAGCUUCAGAUUUUAUGUUGGUUAAACAAACUAACCAGUGUUUGCUUCUGCAUCCAUUGGUCGUCCUCUUUUACGACGAUUACCAGAGCUUCCAUGCACUACGGAUUUCUCCUGUUGCUGCCCGAAUGAAUUCUCUGUAUCUGCAAUUCGUCAAAUUAGCUCUCAGUGAUGCUGAUAAGUUUUUCGAGCUUCAGAUUUUAUGUUGGUUAAACAAACAAACCAGUCUUGUGAUUGGUUCUAUCUGAAGAUAAUGGUUCGAAUGCAUCUGAACUCUUUGUAUGCUUACUUUCAUCGAACUGAAGUACACAGUUUUUACCAGUAGACAGAGUUUGUUCAAAUAGGCUACCAGUGUGUAAAUUUUUUGAAUUUUCUUCCACCCUAUUGCGAAACAUGUGCACCUUCAGUAUUAAUGCAACAGCCUGAAAGUUCUUGAGCAACUCAAAGACGCAAACAUCUCCUACCAGUAAACUAUUAUCCGUAACAAAGUUCAACCAUCCUUUGCUUAGAAGCACCCGAAGUUUCCUCCUAAUGCAACGGACUUUCCACUUAUUUCCAUCAGUAUCUUGAAGUUCAAUCAGUUCUGAAGUCUUUGGCAUAUACUUCCGGACAAACUCAACUGGUAUAUUCUGCAGAUUAUGACGCGUUGUGAAGUAUGCAUCAAGAAGAAUGAAAGAUUAGUAUGCAUGAGUAUGAAUAUAUUGAGAUACAAUGCAGUUUAAAGAAGAAAAAAAUGACACGUUCAGUUUAAUGUAUAGGUACAAAGGCUCACCAGAAUAUAGUUCCGUUCUACGUUGUAUUUUUCAAGAAUCUGCAAGAAAUAAGGAUUUUCUGGAAUGAACAUUUUGGCAGUUUGAAUGGCCCUGCUUGUUUCUGAUACCUUUUGUUGUGCUCUUUCGCGACGAUCAUACCUUCCACGCCCUAAAGAUUUCUCCCGUUGCUUGCUCGUGAACAAUUUCCUUGUACCUGCAUUUAUCAAAUUAGAUCUCAAUAUGAUGCAGAGAAAUUUUCAAGCUUACAAUAUUUGGUUAGAAAACAAACUAGCUGGUUUUGCAAUUGGUUUUAUUUGAAGAUACUGAUACAAAUUCAUCUGGAAUCUCCAUAUAUUUACUUUCAUUGAAAUGAAGUACUUUGUUUUACUUCUCUCUUGUUCAUUAUUUGGAUUAGUCAUACCUCCAGUUGCCACUGCAGAGUGUAUAGGAGUUUUAAUACUUCGCCGAACAGAUUUUCCACCUACUGGCUUAGUUAAACUGCCAUUGCCCGAUAUGUUCAAAUUCUUCGCAUUUAAUAGCUGUCCGUUAUCAUGUAAUUUGUUUGUUUUGCUUCUUGUUUCAUAGCAGCGUGUAAUCUUAAUCUUUCCAGAUGCUAUUUUACGUCUUUUGGCUCUAUGCGGAAGUUCAGAUGACUUAGCUGAACUCUCUGGUCCCUGCUCAGUUUCCAAAAGAUCCACAAUUUCAAUGGAGCUCGUGAAGCCAUUAUCACCAACAAUUUUAUCCUUUCUGUGAGAAAGAUCCUGAGCAACAUCACGUGAUUUAGCAUAACCAUGACUCCUAAGUUGAUAAUCAAUCUCAGUAGCGGCUAGGUCAAAUAUGUGGACAUUGAAACAUGAGGUCUGUCCAUAUUUGAAGAGUAAAAAGUACCAACAGUUGACAGAAUGAUGUUCCAUAAACUCUUGCCAACCAUCAUGAAGCCAAAUCAUUUUACCAGCCUUCUUCAGGCCCACACACCAGAAAUCAUCAGUGGGAACAAUAAUCUUGACGGUAUCAAGGAGUUCAUCUCCAUGUUCCCGGACAAAUUUGUCUGGCAACCGCUGCACACACAAACAACAAACAUAGAUUUUUCAAAUUAAGAUCAGACAUAAGUUAUAACCAUUUAAGACAUAAAAUUGUAGUGCAGAAUUAUAAAACUAAUUAGAACGAUGCAACACAAAAGUUUUACCAAUUUCGAAUUGAGUGCUCAUGUACAGCAAGCAGAAAAACAAUCUUAACAAAUAAGCAGGAGCCACGAGACUAGAAGAAUAUGGCUGACAAUCUCAAGAAUUCGACCAGUACCAACAGUGUAAUCUAAAGCCAAAAACUAGCCAAUUUUCCAUAGAUUCUGAAGAAUCCAUAUCCGAAACUACACCACAAGUAUUAACUAUGUAUGUAUCCUUGUUUCUGUUCUAUUAUCAACCAUAGAUUAUCCAUUAUUGCUUUGUUAUAAAAGGAGAUUCUAAGUAACUUAAGGAAGGGUUACAGGUUCAGCAAAAACCAGUAACUUUAGCUGAAACUCUCAUAUGGAUAAAUAAUCUAUCAAAAAUCCAGUAAGACAAACUAUGGCGGUGAAGUACAGUAGUUUUAAACCACCUAAAAAUCGUACUGAAACUUCAUAUGAGAAAACCUAAACUAGACACCAAGAUUCUAAGCUAACUAAUAUUGUCUGGUUCAUAUAUUACAGUUUAUGAGUUCUAACUUCUACAUACACCACUAGAUCACCUAAAAGAUAAUUAGGUGAACUGUUCAAAAUAAGUAUGAAAGUACUAACCCAUAAAAUAAAGGUAAUACAUAAAUAAACACUCGAACUUAGUAAACACUCCAACUUCGAGAUCGAGAGUACAUAUAUAGACAUUCUCGACCUGCAACUAAACACUCUAACUUGUCCCUAUGAUGCUAAUACCUAUAUGAUUAUUUUGUAAAUUGGAGCGUUGAUGAGUUAAUUGUCUAUAUUUGCACUCAAAAUUGGAGCUUUAUCAAGUUUGAAAAUUUCGAUUGUGCAUAAAAAUAAAGCAUUCAAUCAAAUUGAUACAGCAAAUUAAAUCAGUAGAAUGUGCCCUAAAUUCUCUGUACUAUUGUAGUAACAACUUACAAGUUGACGAUCAUCCAUGACAGAGGGCUCAACAAUGACGUAGAAACUGCCGGCCGAGUAGGAGUUGGAGCAAGAUUCCAUCAUCACGCCGCAUGCACUGACCGAUUUUCCGGUUGGCCAGUUUUUUUUUACCCUUUGGCUAAAAUUAAAGGGUACAAUCUGUUCGUUUAAUAUAGGACAACUUUGAUAUAUAGCAAAUAAAAUAUUUAUAUUUGUAUGCUAUAGUAUACAUAGGUUCAUAAAUUGGCAUUACUCUUUUAAUAUCAAAUAAGUGGGCCAUAAAUUUAUUUAAUAUCUGAUAAAUAAGUUAUUAUUCGUUUAAUAUCUAAUAAGUGAAUCAUCGUCGAGCAGCUUACCACUCUGGCCUUUACGUGUAGGAUACUGUAGAAGAUUUUUCGGCUUUUAAAAUUGAAAGGAUAUAUAGGAUAUAUAUUCCCAUGAAUAACAAAAUAUAUUGUUAACUAUAGGUAAUUAAAAAUAAAUUUCUUUGCCGAAAUAUUUUAUGAGAAACUUUCACAUAUAGUCACUUAGAAAUAAUUAAUUAUUCUUCAAAGCUAUAGUUUAAUAAUUACAAUUUGUACCUAUAUGUUAUAUGGAGGAGAAAGGUGAGCGUGACUGGGAGAGAGAGGCGAGAGAGGGGAAAAGAGUGGGAGAAAAGUGACUUGUAUAUGCAUAUUGAUUAGAUAAUUGUACAUUAUACAUAUGUAUUUGUAUAUAUGACAAGAAAGAUCGGAAGAGGAGGAGAGAGACGAGCGAGAUCUAAAGAGGAAGGAGAGAGGCGAGCGAGAGAGGGCAGAGAGUGAGAGAGAUGUGAAUUGUAUAUGUAUAUAGGUUAAAAAAAUUGUAUAUAAUACAUAUGUAUUUGUAUACUCUGGCGAAUUAUACAUAUACAAACGUGACUAAUUAUACAAACUCGAAGUCAACCAACGUAAUUAAUGUAUAAUGUUAGUCGCGAGUGACAAUUAUAGCAAACUAUAGCUAUGGUGAGUAGUAAUUUAUAGCGUAAUUUUCUCAUAUUUUAAUUUCUCUGUUUUAAUGUAUUAGUGUUGGUGGAUUGAGCUCCUCUCCAGAUAUGAAUUCCUUCGGUUCUUUUAUUAUCCCUUUAAUAAUUUGACAUAUGUCAUACAAUAGUCUAAUGGCUCAAAUUUGUUUGAUAAACUAAAAAAAUUUAUCAUAGUUAAUAUUUAUCUCACUUCCUUUCUGUUCUUAAAAUCCUUUUGUCUCUGUCAUAGUUUAUUUUUUCAAAUUCUAUUUUGCAGCAAAUCAACAAUAUAUUUUUAGAUUUUUUUUCUAUUGUUGAUAUUUGAGACUUUGAAUUCAUUUUAUUAUUAAUCAUUGAUAAUUUUUCAAUUGAUGCCUCUCUCACAAAGUUUAAUUGAAAUUUUUCGAGUCAGAGCCCAUCAUUGGUUUUUACCUUUUCGUCUCAAAAACUUAUAUCAGUUUUUAUAUGCUAUUUUUUUUUAAAGAAGUGUUUUCUCUGUCACUCUUACGGAACGACUUGGCAAUAAAUCCUAGAUAUUUUUCAAAUUUUAGCUUCUUUGAAACUCCCUUUUUGCAACUUAUUUUCAUUUAUUUUGUUGGAUUAGUUAAUAUCUGUAUAUCAAAUUUUUCAAUAUCAGACUUAGUUAAAGAAAAGAAAUAUGUAGAAAUGGUGGAAGAAGAAAAUUAAAUAUGAUAGAAGAAGAAAAUAUCAAAAACAUUCUUCGACACAUGAACUCAUGAAUAAUGAAAAGAGUCGCAAUUAUAAGUAAUGCAAUGAAAUCGAAUGAAUAAUACAUUUUUUUAUUAAAAAAAAUAUACAUAUCAUUUUCCAGAAAGUUAAUGAUUUUUUAAAAAAGAUUUGGAAAUUGGGAGAAAAGUUUUUUUUCUUUUUAAGUAAUGUGAGGAAAAAAUUUUAAGGAGCCAAAUUCAUAAUAAACUACGAUAGAUAAGAAAGGAUUUUAAGUAAAAAAAAAAAAGUGAGAAAAAUAUUAAUUAUGUUAAAACUCUUUAGUUAAUCAAAUAAAUACUGGCAAUUAGAGAUUGGAAGAGAUUCAUUACUGGAGAGGAGUUAAAUCCAGUUUGAUUUGAUAUGUAGCUUUAAAGAAAAAAAAAUUAUUUUAUAAUUUUAAAUUAAUAAUAUACAUAUAAAUAUAUCGUGUUUUAAUCUUGUAAUUUUAAAUUUAAAGUUAAAAAUAAAAAGUUACAUAAAAAAUAUUUCAUGAUCGAACUAUUUAACCGUAGUGAUUUUCUAUAUUAAUUAAGGGAUUGAUACGUAUACUAGCACCAAAAAUGAAAUGUAUGAUGAUCAUUUAUAGCUUCUUUCUCAAUUUUGAACUAUAAAAGUUCUUCUCAUAAGAUUUCGCACAUUAUAAUAUUAAUCUGGUAUAUUAUUAGUAUCUUAUUUGAUGUUUUUUUCUAAUUUAUGUAUAUGUAAUAUUUGCAUUAGUUAUAUACUAUAUUGUAAUGUGUAUUAAAGUGUGUAUUGCUCAUACUAAGGAUUUUUAUGUAGUAGCAAUGUAAUGGUUUUGAUACAUGCAUUAAAAUGAUGAAAGACUCAAUUGCCCCUCAAGACCCUUUUUACAUUUUUUCUGCCAUAGUAGUGGAGGGUAUCUUUGUAAAUUAUUUUUUAUGCAAUAUAUGCUUUUUUUAUGCAUCAAACCACACAAUGCAUAAAAAUAAUUUAUACAUAAUUAAUGCAAACAUAACUAAUACAUGCAUGGCAAUGCAAGCAUAACUAAUUCAUUUCAUUUAAUAUUAUUCUUAUACACUCUAUCAAACGAGUAUAAAUGUAUUGGAAUAUUAAAAACUAAUUUAAUUUUUAAGUAAUCAACAAUAGAAAGAAAUUUGCUUUUUAUGUGACCUGACAUUUCGAUGAGUACCAAUUUUUCCCUUAAGUUAUACAACAUAUAUUCACUUUAAUCACUGAAAUAAAAUCUUUACGUUACGUUACAUUAAAUGUAUAUAGUAUGGUUACAAGUCAAAACGUCCAAAGAAUAAAUAAAAAAAAUUAAAACCCAAAACAAUGAAAAGGAAAGUUCUUUUUUCAAUGGGGUAAAAAAUUCUUAAAAGUAAAAUUUGAAUAGAUUCGAAAAUGGUCAAUGAGCAAAUUAGGAUAACUCAAUCCCUUAAUUUAUGGGUUGGAUAUUAUUUUAUUUAAAACAACAGUAUAAUCUUCCAAAUAUAACAUUCCUUUGGAGCUCUAUAUAAGAGUUGUACAUGUGUAACAAUUAUCAUAAACAAUUCAUCUUUUGAAAUAUUAUACAAAAAAGUUAAAAAAAAUGAUGAAGAGCUACAUUGUUUUUUCUUUCCUCUCCUUGGCAAUAUUUCUCACUUUUUUUCAACCUGCCUUAGGUAAGUACUUUUUUUUUUUACAAUUUAUAUUCAACUUACAUUGCCUUUUUUUAAUUUCUUUUAAUAAUUUUGAUUAAUGUGUAUAUGCAUUUUUCGUGUUUUAGUGUCAGGUGAAAUUAAAUUUUGUCCGGGAACUUUCGAGGCUAAUGAUAUCUGUGAUAAAAUAAGAUGCGGAUAUCUAGCUCUGUUUAAAUGGCGAGUGAGUAAGAUGCCUCAGAAUUGUAAAUGUGCUCCUGCUGGAAAGAAGCAUAGCACUUGCACAUGUAUGAUAGUUUGCGAUGCAUAAUUGUAAUAGCAAGUAAAAAAAGUAUAUUGUAUGGUUUUGAUGUGGAUAACAUUAAAUAUGUGUCGACUGAUUAUGAAUAAACGUUACAAAAAUUUAUCUUUUUUAAUGUUCAAUCUUAAUAUCUUUUGUAUUAAUUCGAGCUUAUAUUUUCAACCUUCUUCUUAUACGGUUGUUUAUGCAUAAGGAUUCAAAAUAUAAAAAUCAAAUGCUUGAGAUUUGAAUUUGAAUUCGAAACCUCAAUAUAAGGUUUGAUCAUCCCCAAUCACCAAGUCAGUUUCUAAUCUUAUGUUUCAAGAGAUUCACGAUUUACAUAUAUAUAUAUAUAUAUAUAUAUAUAUAUAUAUAUAACGUUUGUCUUAACAAGGAUUUGAAAGAUAAUAAUACACAGUUUCUCAUAUAUUGGCACAAUUAGGGAAAAUUUAUAUUAUUGUCAUUCUCCAAUGAUUUAUAACGUGAACGCUCCUGUUUUUUUUUUUAUGUAAUGUAAUAAGUAAUAAUCAUCUAAUUAAGAUUUAGUAACUAAAAUAUAUAAACAAAUAACACUUCUAUGUAAAGAUAAAAAUUAAUUAUUAGGUCACAAGCAGAACCAUCUUAUUUGAUUGAAAUUAUAUUAUUUAUAUAUGAUUAUAUAAUUAUUUUUUAAUGUUUAUAUAUAGUAAAUAUUAAACCUCUUGAAUUAUUUCUUAUUUUUAUUUCUUUAGAUUUUAAACCUCUUAAAAUUUUGAAUUAAUGAAUUAUUGAUUAUUAUUUUUUGUGUUUGGAGAGGGGAAGUUACAAGUGUCAUUAAACUUAAUUAACGGUUUUAAGAUCUGUAGACUCGGGUUAGAAGCUGCCACGUUCAACAAUUUACACUCUCUUUCUAUGUCAAAUCAAUUCACUUUCUUCCAUAUACUAAACUAAUUAAGCAGAUUAUGUAACACAAUUACCAUAAAAGUGUUAAUUAUUUAACAUUUUGAUAAGAUGAGGGGUUUCUCAUAUUUGAAAAAAGCUCUUCAUAUCCGUUCUUGUUCCAGGCUUUUGGUUGCUUCUUGUAUCAGGUAUAUGUUCUGUUUGAUCUCUUAAAAUGUUUGUACAUUCAUAUAGUUUCUCAUUUUUUUCUUGUGUAGUUUAAAUUAUUGGUGUGAUAUAUUUAUUUUUAUAUAGUAAAUUAUAUUUUCAACACGUCCUCUCAUGUACGAGCUGGAAUUUCAUCGAUUAUCAUUUACUCCUUUAUUUGCUACGUAGUUUUUGCAUGGAUUGCCUCUGUUACGGGUGGUCUUUAAUUUUUGCCUCUUAAAUUUUUGGUCGGCUUCUCAUUUAAAGAAAUUUUGUAGGGGGCAUAGGCACAUGCAAGCUAGAUAUCCAAUUGGACACCCUUCGUCAGAAAAAAUAUUGCAUAUACAAGUAAAUGAUAUACGAAGUGAUUAAAUAACAUAUUUUGGACACCCUUGACAGAAUAGGUUGUUGUAGCCUAGUUGCUUUAGACCUUUUCAAUGGGUUUCAAACAUAUUGAAUGAGUUAGUGGUGGCGUGUUUCGUAAAUAUCCUGUCUCCACCACUAGGCUAUAGUACCCUUAUUUAUGUCAAAAUUUUGCAAGACAUAAAGUCUAGAGGACUUUUGCUUUGUCUAGCAUAAAUUUCGCAGGAGUUAAAGUUAUUGGGUAUUAGUUGUGUUGUAGCUGAUUCACUCGCAUAAGUUUAUAGAACUUGUCUUGUUCAACAAAGGUUCUGUAGGAAUAAGUUAUGUUUCUUGCGACAUAAUUUUGUGAGUUCUGAAAUUGAACUUUAUUAUACCUCUAUUGACAUAAAUUCUGUAGGAAGUAAGUUAUUCCAACUUAUGCGUUCUGAACUGAAUAUAUGUGUCUAACAACAUAAGUUCUGUAGGAAUUAAGUGACAUAACUUUUAUAAGGCAUAACUUGUGUUAUAUUUUGAUACGAAGAUAUAAACUUAUGGGUUUUAUUUAUUUUGUUUUGUUUUUCUAUGUCAAGUGUAUUUUCUGCUACCUUUUUGUUACUUAUAGUACUAAAGGGCAAAAAAAAAUCACAAAAUAUAGGGGCAUUCGUGCGAAUGACCCCUGAAAAUGUCACCCUGUGGUCUUAUGGUUGAUCCCUUUUGUUCCAAUUGUUCAGUCAAAAACUAGAAUUCCUUGUCGGAUCUGUAUACAAUACUAGUAUGACCAAUGGCUUUCAAACAUAUUGCAAGCGACCAUGUGACAAAUAACCAAUUCGCGAUGAAUAAGGAAGGUAUAUUAGUAAUGCUAUAAAUGAAUGAUCCAAUAUUGAAUACUGAUAAUAAUAUCAGCAAACAAAGUUCUCCCGUGCUUCCAGACAUAUUGAGCUCCACAUGUUCUUAUUCAAACAAAGAGGGUCGAUUCCCUAAAAGAUGAAAUCAGUAAAUGUCCGUUCACUAAAAUUGCAUGUAAUAUUUCUUAGGCAAUGUGCUUUUCUCUUAUUUUGAUUAACCAUGGAUUAUGAAUAUUUUUUUUUUGGUGUUAUAGUAGCGGGGGUCUCUUAGUAUAUGCAGAAAAUGUAGACAACAAUGAAAAAAUUGUUGAAAGGAGUCGAUUGGAUUCAAAAAAGAGGAAGAAAGUAGUGGUACUUGGAACAGGAUGGGCUGGCACCAGCUUCCUAAAGGAUAUGGAUAUUUCUUCCUAUGAUAUUGAAGUGGUGUCUCCGCGUAACUACUUUGCAUUUACUCCUUUGUUACCUAGUGUCACUUGUGGAACUGUUGAGGCACGAAGCGUUGUAGAGCCAGUCAGGAACAUAAUAAAGAAGGUAAGAUGAGUUCUUGUUACAACUUGUUUCGGGUGUGCAUAACUUACUCACAUAGAAUGUUCGCCAUAAACAAAUAAAUACAUAACAUGUAUCUUUAACUUAUAGUUUCAUCAGUUAAUCAUGGUUAAUAAUAAUCUAGCGUUGUCUAAUUUCCCUAUCAAUAUUAGUAUUACUCUCCUAAUAACCUUUUUUAAUUUAUUAUUAUUACCCGUUGUUUACUUUGUUUCAGUUAUCAUAUUACUUCUUGUUGAUACUAUUCUUGACAUUUUUUGGGCAAUGUGACAUACAUUAUUAUAUUUCCUUUUCAAACCUGUUGUUUUGUUAUGCUUUAUACUUGAGCCGAGGUCUAUCAGAAACAGUCUCUCUACCUUUACAAGGUAGAGGUAAGGUCUACGUACAUACCACCCUCUCAAGACCCCAUGUUUUGUUCCAAAUCAAUUUAUCGCUUAAUUAUGGUAAAUCAAUGUAGUUUGGUGUAAAUACAAGUAUAUAACUGAACCAUCCAGUUUUCUUCUCACGCAAUUUCUAAUCACGUUGCUCUUGAUUGUUUUUUUUUCUUGGUACAUGUUUUUCUUGAUUGAUACCUAUGUAUUUUUCUGAACUCUUGUUUAUUUCCUACAGAGAAAUGGAGAAAUUCAAUUUUGGGAAGCGGAAUGUCUGAAGAUUGAUCCUGAAAACCAUCAAGUCAUUUGCCGUUCUACUGUCGAAAAUUUGGUUGGAGAGAACAAUUUUUCGCUAGACUAUGACCAUUUGGUUGUAGCAGUAGGAGCUCAAGUGAACACUUUUGACACUCCCGGUGUUGUGGAACAUUGUCACUUUCUGAAGGUUAACUUCUCUGUCUCUAUUCGUGAUUAAUUCAGAUAGCGGAUUCAUUACACAUUUUCUCUAUACUAUGCGACUACAUGUAAUUUUAGACCUCAUAGAUAAAGUAGUUUUGGAUUCAUUAGUCAGAUUGAUGGUUUCUUUUGAUUUCGUGUGUGAAAUGGCAAAAAUAGAAUUUUCGUUUUCUCAGAAGAGUGAAUCAUGUGUUAUACAGGAAGUUGAAGACGCUCAGAAGAUACGAAGGACAGUAAUAGAUUGUUUUGAAAAAGCUGUCCUCCCGGGCUUAAGUGAUGAAGAGAGAAGGACCAAUCUCCAUUUCGUUAUAGUCGGAGGGGGUCCAACCGGAGUGGAAUUUGCAGCUGAGCUACAUGACUUUGUUCAUGAUGAUUUGGUAAAAUUAUACCCUUCAGUUAAGGAUCUAGUGAAGAUAACCGUCAUCCAAUCUGGAGAUCAUAUCCUGAACACGUAAUAAUUCACGAUCUUACAUGUCACCUUAAAAAAAUGAGAUUCCAAUAUUGGGAACUUAUUAGAAUCAUAAUGUAUUGUCUAUGCAGGUUUGACGAAAGAAUUAGCUGUUUUGCUGAAACUAAGUUUCAAAGAGAUGGAAUUGAGGUUUUGACAGGUUGCCGUGUUGUUAGUGUUUCUGAACAUUCAGUUAACAUGAAAGUAAAAUCUACAGGAGAAUAUGUCGUUGUGCCCCAUGGAAUGGUUGUGUGGUCUACUGGAGUCGGUACUCGCCCAUUUGUGAGGAAUUUCAUGGAAGAAAUUGGCCAGGUACGUUUGCACUAUGAUCCCCCUUUGUGUUUGUCUAUUGUGUUAUUAAGCACCAAUAAAGCCCCUGAUGAGUUGUGGCUGCCUCGUGUGGGCUCUCUGUGUUCAACUGAGCUCGUUGCUUUCGACUUGGAACUAUACAUACAUUUGCACCACAAAUUAGGAACAUAUAAUAAGGACAAACUCAUUCGUCUCUGGUUCCUUUAUUAUUAAGUUAUCAUGACCAUGUGAUUUUUUAUUUGGUAGGGGAAGAGAUGGAUCCUAGCAACUGAUGAAUGGUUACGAGUAAAGGAUUGUCCCGAUGUGUAUGCUAUUGGUGAUUGUACCACUGUCGAUCAACGUAAAAUUAUGGUAUGCAAGCCUUUGGCCAAGUAGCUACACUACAGGAUAUCUAUUCCCAACUCUGUUUUUUCUUCUUUUUAUGAUAAAUAACUUCCUAUGAAUAAGCAAAAUACAGUCCUAAAUUUCAAUGUAGUUUAGUCCCCUAACAAAUCGUAAUCAGUGAAGUACACCGCCAGCAUGCACUAGAUUCAAAAUAUUAUCACGCUUUCAUUAUUUUUCACCUUCAAUUUGCAUUUUCGUCAGGAAGAUAUUUCAACCAUUUUUGAAGCAGCGGAUACGGAUCGUUCUGGAACCUUAACUAUCAAAGAAUUCCAAGAUGUUCUGGAAGACAUAAUCAUCCGCUAUCCUCAAGUGGAGCUGUACCUAAAGAGCAACCAUUUGUUUCAAGUAACGGAGUUAUUCAAGGAUUCAGAAGGAAAUGAGAGAGAGGAGGUAGAUAUUGAAGGAUUUAAGUUAGCCCUUUCUCAUGUCGAUUCCCAAAUGAAGAGUCUACCUGCUACUGCUCAGGUAUAUAUCUGUAUUGAUCGAUGAUAUCUUAGUGUAUGUAAUCCCACAGUCAAAGGGAUUCUUUUGUUUUACUUCAUUUUUUGAUAUCAGUUCCUUUUCUGUUCACAUUGGUAGGUUGCUGCUCAACAAGGUUCAUAUCUUGCUGGCUGCUUUAACCGUUGGGAACAAUGCAACGCUAACCCUGAAGGUCCUCGCCUAUUUGGAAGUGCAGGGCGUCAUGCAUUUCGACCCUUCACGUAUGGCUUUUUCUUCUAGAGUGAAUUAUUUUCUUAUUUUACUGUUGCAUGUAUGAGAAUACAGUCCGUUAUACACACUCAAUAGCUAACUGUAGUAAAUUUGAGAUUCCAAAUUUUCUGUAUGGGUUGAGCUAGAGGAGCACAAGGGGGUUUACUUGAAUCCUCUUUGCUGGAAAUUAACUCUUGUGUGUAUACAGUCAAUUUUUGUAUAGUAGACGACGAAUUUCCUUACUUCUCCGUGUAUUUACUUCCUUAUAUUUUAAAUUCCCUCAUCAAAAUCCUGACUCUACUCUGUUUCACUCAGGUAAGCAUAGUUUAACCCAGAUCGUAGUGUUACUUAUUCAUCUCAACUCGACAAGCACUUCCCUUUGUUUCUUAAUCCUUUUUUAGCAAAUGAUAUGGCAUAUGUAGACCAUAAGUUUCAGAAGUCUUUUAUAGCCACACAAAUGUUAUGAUAUGUUUAAGAAUUUGAGUUCCAAGAUAUUGUUCUGCAAUGAUUCUAUGCACUUGCUUAAAUUUUAGAUCCGUCUCUGGUUAAUUCUAGAAUUUUGUGAUGCAGAUAUCGACAUUUAGGUCAAUUUGCACCAUUAGGUGGGAGCAAAGCAGCAGCAGAGCUUCCUGGAGACUGGGUAUCAAUGGGUCGUAGCACACAAUGGCUUUGGUACUCUGUUUAUGCAAGGUGAUUAAUUAAAUGUAUUAAUUCGUCAAUAAUCACAUAAUUAUGUAUGUUUUGAGAAGAUUUAGUCUUAAUUAAUAUAUAAUAUUUAUCAUUAUUUCAGCAAGCAAGUUAGCUGGCGUACAAGGAUCUUAGUUGUAUGGGAUUGGACAAGAAGAUAUAUUUUUGGAAGAGAUUCAAGUCGAAUAUGAUGCUUUAAUAGUUUUACAUUGGCUCUUUGCUACUUUUUGGUUACCAAAUGCAAUAAUUUUAUAUCUGUAUAAACUUCUAAUGUACAUCGAAUAGUAAUUAAUAAUUGCAAAAUUUUGAACUAUGUAGAAUGGUUUAUUUUUAUCCUCCGUUAAUAGUUGAGGUUAAAAAAAAAAACAUAAUACAUAAAUAUGUACUUUAAUUUAAUUACAAAUUAUAUUAAUGCCCUUCAACUUUGGAUGUGCAUAAGUAGAUACUUAAACUUGUAUAAAGUUGAACAAAUAAACACACGUGUCCAACAUGACAUCCUACAUAUUAUUUUUUGUCCUACUUGUGUUGUAACAUGUAGGACUCAUAUAUUUAUUUAUUCAAAUUUAAGUGUCUACUUGUGCAUAACCAAAAUUGAAAAAUAUAAAUAUGAAAUUAGGUUAAGUUGAGGAACACAUUUAUAUAUAAUUAUGCAAAAAAAAUUCUAUUAAUUUAAAGAGUUUGAUUGCUCAGAUAGUCGCUCUAACUUUUUAAAAUAUUGCCAUUAUUUAUUUUUAUGAGCAAAGGACGCCUAAAUAAAGGAAAAGUCCGUGAAAAUUUAAAAGUAAUUAUAUCUAUACGUACAUGGAGCUUUAUAAACUAAUAACAAAUACAAAAAAAAAAAAAAUAGUUACCACUUAACAUUUACUUCUCAAAAUUCACAUAAACAACAUUCAAACAUACGAAAUGUUGUAAACCAAUGAAUAAAUGUGAGUCAGGAAUUAAGUUGACGUUGGAUUGGAUUGAUUUCAAAUUGAUUUAAAAUUUAAUCUAAAUAAUAUGAUAAUUACAUCAUUAUAACUAUCAUCGCCACCAUCGUUAUUACGAAUCACUAUCAGCAAUCAUCACCAGUCAAUUACCCUUAUUAUAAACUAUAUUCGUUUCCCAAUACACUUCUCAAAACAUUUGAUUUAUUAUAUUUUAUUGUAAAAUUAUUCUAUUUAUUGUUCAUUAAAGAAUGUAUCAAAGCCAAUUUUGGACAUAGUAAAAAUAGUUGGAGAAAGUAAAUUUAAUAAAAUUAGGUGAUAAGCGUUUUUUUCCUUCACUUUGCACCCGCUUGGGACCGCAAAUUUCCAGAAGUCUAUUACAUUGCUUUGUAUUACAAAAAAGGAAACAUUUCUUUAUAAAAUAGCAUUACAUAGGUCCCUAUUUUAUAUGUCAAUCUUUCGAAUUUCAAAAGUUAAAUAAGUUUAUUUUUGAUUGUAAAUCUUUUAUACAUCUUUUAAAUAUUUUGAAUUAUCAAUUAAUAGUAUUUUUACGUAGUUUACAAAUAUAUAAAUUUUAUUUUUAAAAAAAUGAAAAUUUAAUCUACAAAUUUUCGAUCAAACUUAAACUGUUUGACUCACAAAACAUAAAAUGUGUCACGUAAAUUGAACGGUACCGCAAACACAAAAUAUGUGUACCAACUUUUGCAUGUAGCAAAGUUGUUGAAUCACACAAAACCAUCCCCAAUUAGACCAGAAAAAAAGAUACUACACCUAUAAAACGAAACUGUCCACAUGACUCAAUGCACUCCAUUUUAUUUUUACUAUACUUGUCUCUAGCUAGUUUUUUAAGGAAAAGAAAAAGAUCUAUAAUUCAACUUACCAAAAUGAUGAAGUUGUUUGUUGUAGCAUCCUUAUUGCUACUACAACUUCAUCAAACCACAACCAAACAUGAUCACAAGACCAAAAGUAAUGGUCUAAUGAUAAAAAUGAUUCACCGUGACUCAAGGAAAUCUCCAUUCUACGACCCAAAACUUACACUAGAAGAUCGUGUGAGAAGAAUGAAUAUGAGAUCAGAAGCUCGCAUUUCACAGCUUCUGAUUGACAAUAAUCUAGAAAAAUAUGUUGAUGCAUUUCAAAUUAUCCCAUUUGAAGGGUACGAGUUUCUUGUUCCAUUAAAAAUUGGCACACCUCCUGUGCCACAAAUUCUUGUCAUGGACACUGGUAGUUUAUUACUUUGGGUUCAUUGUGGCUACACCAUGGGUGGUGAACGCUCACCAUAUCCACUAUACGUCUAUUCACAUUCUUCAUCAUAUAUUGAAGAUGUGUUUUGUAAAACACCUAUGUGUGAGUUAAUAAUGCUUAAAGGUGAAUGUGGACGUGACUCGAAGAGAUGUGAGUAUACAUAUAGAUAUAUGUCAGGUAUGACUCAGGGAAAUCUUGCUUCUGAAGUUUUUACAUUUCAGUCACCAAAUGGAACUGAUGUGACUAUGAACAAGUGCCUUAUGUUUGGAUGUUCCUCAAUACUUUCUAAAGGCGCAAAUCAUGUUAGUGGAAUUCUUGGACUUAGCAAACGAGCUAUUUCUUUGAUUUCUCAACUAAAUCAUACUGGAUUUUCCUAUUGUAUCGGUAAUAUUAAUGACGAAGACUAUGAUUCAAACACAUUGGUUUUGGGAGGAGAGCCUGUAAUUUUGGAAAACUCUACUCCCAUGUUUAUAGUUAUAGGAAAAUACUAUAUAACCUUAGAAAAAAUCAGUGUGGGAGACAAGUUUCUUGACAUCGAUUCAAGCAUAUUCAAGAGGAUCAAUUACGAAGGUGGAAUGCUUGUUGAUAGCGGAACCACUUCAACUUAUUUGCCUCAUAUUGCAUUCAAUAAAUUGAAGGAGGAAAUAAGAUUUGUGAUUGGUACGACAUUAACAGAGCAUAUAAGCUCAAGACAAGGUGAACUAUGUUACCGUGGAACUAUCAGUGAAGAUCUUAAAAAUUUUCCGACUAUAGCAUUUCAUUUUGUUGAAAAUGCUGUAUUGAAGUUUGAUGCUCAAAAUUUAUUUCGACAAGAUAAAACUGACUAUUUCUGCUUGUCUGUACAAAGUAUGGAUAGUGACCGGCUCUCUCAGAAACUACCUUUUAGCAUAUUAGGGAUUUGGGCGCAACAAUUUAAUUACAUCGCCUUUGAUAUUAAUAUAAUGAGAAUGCCCUUCACUAAGAUAGAUUGUGACAUCCUGUAUGAUUAAUUCAAUGAUAAUAAUCUUUCAAUUUUACUCUCUUUGUCAUACAAUAAUCUUUCAAUUUUUAUGAGUAAUAUGAUAUGAACCAACUUGUAUUGAUGACUGAUAGGAAAUACAAGCUUUUAGGGAAUCAAAACUUUUAGAGAAAAAGUAAGAAACUACAGUCAUUCAACUACGAAACGCAACUAAAAGGAAAACUUUUUAUUUUCUCUAUCCACUAUUGUGUGUCAGAAUAAAAUAUGCACAAUCUUGAAAAAAAUUUAAUAUAAAGUGCAAUUUGAUUAAUAUAAUUUUACUUUUUUUUUUGUAUCAGACAGUGUCUAGCGGUCUUUUAUUAAACAUAAAAAAUGUCAAUAGGAACAAAUACAAGCAAAGGGGGCUAGGUCUUAUCUUAGUAAUCCUAAUGAAAUAUCUAACUUCUGCUAUCUAACAAGCAUGAAGAAAAUAAGAGCUAAAGAGAACUACGUAUUUUUAAUCGUAACAUAGUUUGUAAUACACUCCAUAAUGAUAUUACAAAUAAGAAUACUUAAAUAAUGUAAAAAUAUGUCAAUCAAGAAGAAAGUUGAUUUACCAGCCUCAAACUUUCUAUUACUAAAGCAUGAGUUAAAAAAAGUUUGAUUGCCCAACCACACUUGAUGAUUCAUACCUUCUUUACUGAUUUAUUGGAUCUAGUUGAGCCUAUUAAUACUGUCAAAUGAUUUUGUUUUGCCUGUCGCAUCAAUAGGUGUCUUGGAACAAACUCUUCAGACAUUUUACCGUCCCAACUAUGUUACCUUUCAUAUGUCUUUUUUUGCUUUUGUUGCUUUCGCUUCUUUGUUGCCUAAGUGCUAUAUCUCCUUCCUAGUCACUCUAUUAAAGCAAAUGUCCAACACAUUGUCUUCCUCAUCUUCAUCAAGAGAAUUCUCUCCCGAAUCCACUCCAUCUUCAUCAAGAGAAUCCUCACCCAAAUCAAUUAUAUGUGACACUAAGUCACUUGACUCAUUCUUCCUUGCAAGCACACAUUAGGCACAAAUACACGAGCUUGGGACUUAAUCUGCUAUUUAAAGCAGGUGGUGAGACUUGUUUUUCUUGGAUAAAAUCGUGGUCAUUCUCUGUUAACCUUACUUGCUUUUCAGUAGUCUUCAACAAAUCAUCAAAGUAAUUCGAACAUAAUAGGUCUCUUGAUGCAUUACUAGUAUCUUGGCUCUUCUGGUUCAAACCCUUUUCACUACAUGGAGAAUUAUUUUGACUAGUACGGGAAAGACUCUGACUACUAGUUGAUUUUUUGUGUGCAACUAGUGUCCAAUUCUUAGUUUGAUUCUCGUUUCCACUUGCAAAACAUGCUGCCAAGCAUCUUCACUUCAACUUCAUAUGUUAUUGUGUCCGGUUUUAGUUUUCCAAAGGAUGAUUCAACCCAAGAUUUACAAGAACGUCUAUCAUGUGCUUUCUUAGUAUCCUUCUCCACUUGCUCCUCCUCCUUGUUAUCCAGUGCAGCAAAAGAAUUCACCAUUGGGAUCUCUGUUAUCUUCUCUAGCUGAGGUCUUUUCCCCUUGUUUGGGGUAAAAAGUCGCAUAUCCUUUGUUACGUUCUAGACCUUGAACAAAGAAAUCAGGGGACAAACCAUGAAAGGAGAUCCAAGCCAGUGCAGUGGUUGUUUCUGCCUAUGGUUAAACCAUGGUUCCCACUUAAGCUAGGGCGGACCCACACUAUAUCAUUGGGGUGCAUGUGCAUUCGGUAACUUUUGAAAAAAUCAUAUGUAUAUCUAUUUUGAAAAACUGGUAAAAAUUAAGAUAAACUUACCGUGCAUCCAUAAUAAACAUAGAGUGCAAUUGGAAGCCUGUUUUAUUUUAAGUUUAACUUAUACAUUAUAUUUGAGUUAUGUUUAUAUUGGUGCACUCAAAAUCUUCAAAUCCUGGAUUCGCCUCUGCACUUAAGGGGCCUCAUCUGAUAAACCCCAUCUUUGGCACGAAGAAAGUAUACAGGUUUUUGGGGUGGAAGAGGCAGCCAACCAUUGCUGGCAGUAGCCAUCGUACCUUCCGCUAGGUUUUUAUUUUGUUAAGGAUCACGCUGCUAGUUUCUGUGUAACCUACUAUCAACUAUUAUUAAAAUGGUAAAAAUAAUUAUUUUCAUAUUAAAGUAGUCUUGUAACUUUGAAACAAACAAUUAUUUAAUUCUCAAGGGCAAAAUAGAAAAAAAAAGUGAUUGAUUUGUUUCUUGAGAGGAACACCAUAUUUAGGUGCAGCUUGUAGCCUGUUGUCGUGCCUAAGUGUGAGUGGGUUAUUAGCCAUAUUCAAAACAUAAUAUUAUGAAAUCAGUUGCUAAUUUAAGGAAAGAAGCAAGAACAACAAUAAGGAUGAAGACAAAUCCAAAAUUUGCCAAACAUCAUAACUCAUGACUAACAAUGUUGAUUAAAUAUAUAUAAAUAAAUACAUGGUUAAGAAGUGCAAUAAGGACAAUGUUGAUGGAUAAUCAUAGUUGGAUCUAAAGCUAAGCAUAAUUCUCCUAGCGUCUCUUUAGGUGGAAGUAAUCUAAAAAGCCUUUUGAUAUGGAAAAUACUAUCCUCAACUUUGUCUGAAAAAGCUAAAUAACAAAUAUGUUGUGUUAGCGCUGUUUCGUUAUUCUUGAAAAUCUCUACUUGCUUUAAGGCCUCGUAGAAUUCUAAUAUUGGCCAUCUACCUGUGCAUUCAUAAUUAUCUUCAAUUGUUAUAUGAAAAUCAAGGCUACAUUUUUUAAUAGUCCAAUAACGUUCUUCAAACUUUUCCUUCGACCAUGGAGUAAACGAAAGGUCUACACAAUUUUCCAUGUUUAUAGUGAAAUUUUUGUCUGGUUUUGGAUCAUCAAUAUCUUCGUUCCAUCUAUCUCCAUAUCUAAUGGGGCAUUGAAUAGUGGGUGAGAUGAAUAUACCUACAAGAAUUAUGAUUGUAAUAAAACUCCAUAUUUGAGAUACCAUGGUUAGAAAAUAUGACAAUGAUUUAAUAUUUUGGUUUUCAUCAAUUUUAUAGUAUAUACAAAACCUAGCAAUUCAAAUUUAAGUUGGACUAGAAUUCUUAUUAUUACGUCAACGUAAAAACGUGGUAUGAGUUAUAUUAGGAAAAAAAUUAACUUUUUUAAAUAAGGCAAAUCAGUUCUUCCAAGCUUAUUCAAAAAAAUAUAUUUUAUAAAAUAAAUUAUUUAAAAUCAAAUACUACUGAUGUUCACUUUUAAUUGUAAUGUUGCGUUUUUGGAAUGUCAAUGCGACUAAUUUUUAAAGUUAAAAUUUGAUUAUAUUAAUUUGAUAUUUUAAACAAAAAAUUUAGAUAUUCAAAAGUUAUACGAAAAAUACUUUAAAUUGCAUAUUAAUAUGAUGAAAAAAUAGUGUAUAAAAUGUUAAGAAGUGCAAUAUUGACAAUUUUUUGCAUAUUAAUAUGAUAAAAAAUGCAUCUUAAAAUAUGUUAGUCAAAGUUUUUAUAGUUUGACUCUAAAAAUAGAAACCAUGACAAACAUUAUUGUAGUACUGGAUAUCUAUUAACAUUAUCAAUAUAAUGGUAUUAUACAUUGUGCACUUCCUUGGUGGAGAGGUGUAGCUAAUGUAUGCUGGUGUUGUGUUCUAUUUUCUUCCAUUCAUAACUAUUACUAUCUAUUUGAAGGAACAGAGAUGAUGAAGCAUGCUAAUAAACCUCAAAAAACACCACAAAUGUGUUGGAAUGUUCAUUACAAUGUAUAUACAUGGCUAGAAGAAUGAAACUUAAAUCUUGAUUCAUACUAUACAUUUUUUUUUAAAAAAAUGUCGAAACUGAUCUUCAGUUGCAAUGUUGUGAUGACUUACUUGAAAGUAAGCAUAGAAAUGGUGCAGCUUGAUGGCAUCACCAAACAUGUUUGAUGCAUAUUUCACUUCAAUGAUUGUUUUAGUUUAUAUAUCUUCGUUGAAUAUGUAGGUGGUGCAUUGAAUAGUGGGUGAGAUGAAUAUACUUACGAGAAUUAUAAUUGUGAUAACACUCCAUCUUUGAGAUACCAUGGCUACAAAAUUGGAAUAUGAUUUAAUAUUUUGGUUUUUAUCAAUUUUAUAUAAUAUACAAUAUAGCAAUUCAAAUUUUAAGUUGGACUAAAUUCUUAUUAAACAGUUAAGAAACGUAAAAACAUGAUAAUAUAAUGUUGAGUUAUAUUAGGAAAGGGAUAAAAAAAUUUAACAAGGUAAAUCGGUUCCUCCAACUUUAUUUUUUUUAAAAAAAAAACUAAUUAUUCUAAAUCAAAUUCAAAUACUUUGCCUAUUUUUAAUUGUGAUAUUACGCUUUUCGAAAGUCAAUUUACUAAGAGCAACUUUCACAUAUAGAAGCACAAAAUUUAAAUUUGUAUGUUAUAGCAAAGUUUGUAUAAUUGCGCUCCAUAGCAAGUGUGUGUGUGUAUAUAUAUAUAUAUGUGUGUGUGUGUAUAAUUCGCUAUACAUAUACAACUGAAAGUUAUUCCUAUUUCGCUAUACAUAUAUACAAAGAUGCAAUUGUAUAAUUCGUUGGUUUCUCUUCAUAUUUAUAUAAUUUCGUUGGCAGGCCAUUUGUAUAAAUUGUUGUUAGCUUCUCAUUUGUAUAAAAAUCGUUGUUAAUUAGUCUCUCAAUUCAAUUGUAUGUGUGUUUUAUAUCUGUAUAAAAUUUGAAUUUGUAUACAAUUAAAUUGAAUUGUAUAAAACAAAAAAGAGAAAAAUUAUAUACAAUUUGAAUUUGUAUAAAACGAGAAAGAGAAAAGAGACUUUGGCAGGGAAUAUACAAUUGAAUCAAAUUGUAUAAAACGAGAAAGAGAGAAAUUAUAUACAAAUUGAAUUUGUAUAAAACGAGAAAGAGAAAAAGGCAAAAGAGACUUGGCAGGGAAAUAUUUGUAUUGUAUAAUUAUAAGUGUAUAGGCAUAAACAUAUGUUGCAUGUGUAUAAAUAAUUUUUUUCUCGCUUUAUACAAACGGAAACACAAUUUAUACAAUUCUAUUGUAUAAAGCGAGAGAGGGAGAGUGACGAGCGAAAAUAUGAGGAAGAUAGGUGACUGACAAACAAUUUGCUACGGAACACAAAUAAAUCAAACGGUAGCUACUAUAUUUAUUUUACAUUAUUAGUUUGUCAUUCUAUACAAUUAUCCCUUUAAUUAAUUCUUAAAGUUAAAUUAGAUUACAUUAAUUCGAUAUUUUAAAUAAAAAAAUUUAAAUAUUUAAAACUAUAAAAAAAAAAACUAUAAACUGCAUAUCAAAAUGAUGUAAAAAAAACAUCGUAAAAUAUAUUUUUAUAAUUUAACUCUAAUAAGGAAACUAUGAAUCUAUGACCAUUAAAAGUAGACGAAGAGAAUAAAUAUUUAUCUUAUAUAUAUAUCACAAGUAUAAAGUUUUAAUUUGAUUUUGUAACCAUAACCAUUAACCGCCAGUUAUGAUUGUACUUGCAUAGUCCUAAUAAGAUGGAGAUCAAACAAUGACAGGUUCCCUAGUUUUUAGGUAUUUGACAAGUCAAAUAGCGUUAAAAUUGGCUAUUACUUGACAGUUACUCCACUAGUAGUCCCUUAAAAAAGCAAAACAAACAAACAAACAAUAAAAAGUGGCUGUGCUGUAACUACGUUCAUGUAUGGAAAGUUUAAAAUUUUUGACAAAUUUCUCCUUAGUUUCCUUCUUUAUUAUAUAAAUUGAAAGAGUAAAGUGAAUUCAUUAGGUUGCAACACAAUAAUAAUAAUAAUAAUAAUAAUGAGUGGUUAUAGUUUUUUUCAAAGAGCCUCUAGGGCUUUCAAUGACUACCCUCAUCUUCCUAAACUUCUUGUGCUUUUCACUGUUAGGUAUUGUCAACUUUUGUUGUUUGUUUUCUUUCUCAUUUUAGUAUUUGCUUGUUUAAUUUAACAUUUUUAUUUGUCUUGUUUGUUGGGGGAUUCGAUAAAUAAAAUGUAAUAGUAGUAUACUGUAUAUGGGAUUCAAAACUUGGAUUUGUAACAGUAUUCUGUGAACGAAACAGAUUCAACAUCUUAUAUAUAAAACAGAACAUAAAAAUGUUUUGGGGUUCGAAAUCUGUUACUCCAUUUUGGAAUGAUUGAUCAGAGUAUUUUGCCAUAAUAUAGAAAAUAUGAAAAAAUAAUAAUUAUCAUUUCGAUUUCUCAUUUAGUUGUGUGCGCAAUGUUGAAACCAUAAAUGGAUACAUUUUUUUAGUCAACAAUUUGGGUAGAGUUUGUUUAUCUAAAGAAAAACUUACACUCAUAAUAGACACAAAGAUGAGGAAUUUGAAUCAUUGCAAAUGAAACUUACGCGGUUUAUACAUUCGUUAUAUUUAUACAUAUAGAUAGUAGAUGUUGAACUCACUCUGGCUUUCAUGUCGGUUACUUUUUUUAUAUUUUGCACCCCUUAGUGAAAAUCCUUGCUCCCGCCACUGAUUUCAGCAAAUCCAAACACUUGUGGUUACUUGCUUCCUCAAUGACCUGUCAUAUUUCACAAAUAAUUGUUUGAAGGUGUGACCCCUGAAUAUAGUGGACUACAUAGAUGAUUCAUAUCGCGGGCACUAAUUUAUUUAUGAUGUAAUUUUGCAGUGGCGGAGGGCUAGCUACUGUAUGUCACACUGCAUUUGCUGAUGCAGGUCAGGAUGAUAUUAUUAAGAAGAAGAAGAAAAUUGUAGUGCUUGGAACAGGCUGGGCAGGAACAAGUUUUCUUAAGAAUUUGAAAGACCCUUCUUAUUCUGUCCAAGUCGUGUCUCCUCGCAACUAUUUUGCCUUUACUCCUCUGUUACCUAGUGUUACUUGUGGUACAGUUGAAGCAAGGAGCAUCGUAGAACCAAUUCGUAAUAUUGUGAAAAAGGUUAUACACAUCAUCCAUUAUAAGCAUCAUUGAUCUAAUGUUUGUUGUUUUUCAUCUUCACCCUUACUGAUGCCUUGUCGCGUAUUUAUGUGUAACAGAAAAACUUUGAUGCUGAAUUCAAGGAAGCUGAGUGUUAUAAGAUUGACACAGUAAACAAGAAAGUUCACUGUAAAACAACCCAACCAAUUCAUUUGGGUGGUGGUAUAGAAGAUUUUACCGUAGAUUAUGACUACUUGGUGAUUGCUAUGGGCGCUCGAGCAAAUACUUUCAACACCCCUGGUGUUGUGGAGAAUGCACACUUUCUAAAGGUACCUUUACCAAGCAACUGUCUUUGUUAAAUUAUAGUCUAUGAAGGUACAUUUAUGUCUUGUGACUCAUCUUGCAUAAACUAAACCAAUACUUAAGAUAAGCACAAAAAUGAAAGUAUAGGUACACAUUAUAUAGUUCUUUGAAGAGCAAGCAAUGAUAUUUCAAUGCAGGAAGUCGAAGAUGCACUGAGAAUUCGUAGGACUGUGAUAGAUUGUUUCGAGAAGGCAAGCCUUCCAAGCAUAAGUGAAGCUGAGAAGAAGAGAAUUCUUCACUUUGUGAUUGUUGGAGGUGGUCCAGCAGGUGUAGAGUUUGCUGCAGAGCUUCACGAUUUUGUGAAAGAGGACCUCGCCAAGUUGUAUCCUGCACUUAAAGAAUACGUCAGUAUAACACUACUUGAGGCCGGAGAUAAUAUACUCAACAUGUAAGUAACAUUCUCUCCACAUACUACAUUAUAGCUUUUGAUUUUGAACCUAUGUUGGUCGGAUUGAAAUAUGCUUUUCGAUCAAUUGAUGCAAUUCAUACGAUAUUAUAGCUUGUAACUUGUUUGCUUGCUCACCUAUCUGUGAGGAUCUGCAAUAAGCUGUUCAAUAUUUCACCUUUUCAGGUUUGACAAAAGAAUUACGGCCUUUGCUGAGGAAAAAUUUGCUAGAGACGGUAUCGAGCUGAAAACUGGAUCAAUGGUGGUGAAAGUAAGUGAUCGUGAAAUAUCAACUAAAGAGAGAAGCACUGGACAAACUGUUAUCAUACCAUAUGGAAUGUGUGUCUGGGCUACUGGCAUUGGAUCUCGUCCUGUCGUUAUGGAUUUCAUGAAGCAAAUUGGUCAGGUAUGUUCAAUUUUAGUAUUACUGCAUUUCUUGUUAAUCUUUUCUUGUUUCAGCACCAACUCACGUUCGUACCAAUCUGUUUUCAUUGAUGGUUUGCAGACAAACAGGCGAAUCUUAGCAACAGAUGAAUGGCUCAGAGUUGAAGGAUGCAAAGAUAUUUAUGCUCUAGGAGAUUGCGCCACAGUAAACCAACGCAGUGUCAUGGUAAAGUUAUACUCAGAUUUUGAUUUCUUAUACUGAAUUUCAACAAUUUAGCAGCAUUUCUUGGAACCUGAAGGAGUCUCAACUUGCAACAACCCUCAUUUACUAAUCCUAAAUGUACUUAAGGGAACUUGAUUUUACUUAACUCUUCCAUUCUCCCUCUCCCUCAUAUUGGUACGACGUUUGAAAAUCAAGAUCAGGAAUUGACAGCAUUAUGCUCACACUUAUGGCAUUUUGAUUCGUUUGUUUCUGUUCUGAACUUUUCCGUUUCAUUUAGUGUUGAAAUAUACAUUUCAGGAAGAUAUUUCAAUCAUAUUUAGCAAGGCAGACAAGAACAAUUCAGGUAAUCUAAGGGUGGAAGAUUUUAAAGAAGUGAUCCAAGACAUAUGUGAGAGGUACCCUCAAGUGGAGCUUUAUCUGAAGAAAAAGCAGUUGAAAAACUUUAAUGCUUUACUAAAGGGUUCAGAAGAAGUUGCUGAAAUUAACAUCGAAAAGUUCAAGAAACUACUUGCUGAAGUAGACUCUCAGAUGAAAAAUCUUCCUGCUACAGCACAGGUGAAUGAAUAUAUAGAGAUUAUUUUCUCUUGUUUAUAUGCUUCUAUUCCUUAUCUUAUGCUUCUUCUGUCAUUACUGUCUAACUAGGUUGCGGCUCAACAAGGUAGCUACCUCGCUGACUGUUUCAAUCGCUUGCAAAUAUGUGAAGCAAAUCCAGAAGGUCCACUAAGAUUUAGAGGAACAGGGCGCCAUCGCUUCCAUCCUUUUAGGUAGACCACCUCUUAAUUAUGGACAUUCAUAUUUGAAUAGGAAAUCUUAUGAACUCUUGCUUAGAGUUGACAGUAUGUGUUUAACUCUGACCUUUGUUGAUCUUAUGCUUCGCGUCUGUUCGUUUUCCCUCUCUUACAGGUAUAGGCAUUUGGGGCAAUUUGCACCUUUGGGUGGGGAACAGACUGCAGCUCAACUCCCUGGAGACUGGGUUUCCAUAGGUCACAGUACUCAGUGGCUCUGGUAUUCAGUAUAUGCAAGGUAAGUAAGUCUUGUCAAAUUACCGUACACAGUGUUUACAUCAAACCAAACAAUGUAUAACUUUAAGAGUUACAAACUUGUGCAAAAAUACAUAGCAAUGGUUCACUAGUAAAAGUUUUGUGUAUAUGACUCUUUCUGUUUGGUGUGAACAAUAAGUGCGAGUAAGUUUUUCCAAUAAUGUGUUUGGUUUCAUAUUUCAGCAAGCUAGUCAGUUGGCGUACAAGGGUGUUGGUGGUAUCUGAUUGGAUAAGGCGUUCCACAUUUGGGAGGGAUUCUAGCAGAAUCUGAAACAGCAUCAGUGUCUGGAUUUAUUGCUUUUUUUUUAACAUACUGUAAUUGAGCUCUUCUUAUUAGUGUAGUUGAGAAAUCUUGUUCGGAUUGUAAUUUUUUAACCAACUUCCUGGUUCCAAGUAAUAUUUUAUCGUUAUUCUUUAGAACUCGACUAGCCUUUCUGGCUCUUACAAAGGACAUACAUUACAUAAUUCGACUUGUUUCUUAUAGCAAUGGCAUUUCACUGCUUGCAAGCAGGGGCCAGAAGCAGAAAUGAAAAAACAGAGAUCAAUUGAUCGUAGUCCCACCAUUACUGGCAAGUAUUCUAUAUCAUUAAUCACUAGAAAGUUACAUCAAUGAGGUACGAGAACAAGGGAUUUUUUUCUCAUGUAAAGGUGGAUGAACCACAUCAUACAAUUGUAAUAUCUCUCUGUUUAUUCUUCUAAAAAAAAGGAGCUCAGAUAGUAGAGAAGCCCUUUUACACCACUUACAUGAUGCACCAAACUAUAAACGAGGUUACAAUAUCCACAAAAUAAUUUGAUAUUUACACCAUUAAACAUCAACUAGACGCAUCUCUUCUCCCUUAUCAUACAGAAUAAGAGCGUAUUUAGGUCAAUCCCCACGAGGAAUAACACUUUGAAAAAUUCAGGUGUGUAGUCAUUUCUAGAUCCAACCAUCAAACGUGGGGAAGUCAACCUAUCAUUGGACCAGAUGGCUGGUUAGGUUCUUCAACUUUACUGGCCUGUAACCAAAAGAAGAUCUUUUUAAACUUCGAUAUGCACGGCAAUAAUUCCAAACAAGAAGUUGUGCCUUUAAUAAUAGAAUCAUAUACUAUGAACAUACACCAGUCUGCAGAUCCAUUUUAAGUUUGAGAGAACAUAUAUAAACUAUGAAAAUACAUACCACAACAUAUCCUUUUUGUUGAAGAUAGCAGCAGUCGCCGGCAACAGCAUGCAGCAAACUGAUGCUCUUUGUAUACAUUACUCAACUGGAGUCCAUGAUCAAUUUUGAACUGCUAUACUAUCUGUUUUUCUGUCGAUUAUAGUUUGACCCACGAUGAUUUGAGACUGAUUCCUUCAUCUCAUUUGAAAAGGCAAUAGCCAACUCAAACUUCCCCAUUUUUUUUAAAUUACUGAUCAGUAAUUUGUAAACAUGAAUUGAUGGGCAGAUACCCCUGUGCUUCAUCUCAUUAAAAAGUCGCAGUGAUUCUUCAAUAUUACCAGAUUUUCCAAAGCUGUCAAUCAAAGCACUAUAUGUCCGCAAAUCUGGUUCAAUUUCUCUCUCGCACAUCUCCCUGAAAAAUACUAAGCACAACUCAAGCCUGCCAACCUUUCGCAAUCCAGUAAUUAAGGUAUUAUACGAAACAAUAUCAGGAAUUAGACCAUCCUCUUUCAUUGCCACAAACUGAUUAAGCAUUUCAUCUAUUCUACCACACUUCCCUAAGAGUCCCAAAAUGGUGUUAUAUGUGAUCACAUCAGGUUUGGAUUUCAAACUCUUCAUCUGAUCAAAAAUCAGCAAUGACUUGUCAAGCUGUCCACAUUCAGCAAAGGCAAAGAUGAUCCUAUUCAUAACUGGAGUACUACUUGGAAAUAUUAACUCCGAAAUCUCCCGGACAAAUCUUAGUAAGCAGGCAACAUCAUUUUCCUUGAUAAAUGCCUGAGCAAAGAUAAGAUAUGUAGAUGAAUUCAGAGGUUUGCAAGAUACUAACAGAUCCUUGAAACACUGACAUAGGAGGUGAAUAUCGCUUUCCUCGAUUGCAGCUUUCAGAAGGCGAUCGUAUGCACUAGGGCGGAGGUGGAUACUUUUAUCAUGCAAGGUUCGCACUAGCCUAAUGGCUCCUGAUAGAUUUCUGUCAUUGCAAAACUUAUCAAUAUAUGUAGCACAGAGUUCCUCUCCUGAACUUUGAGAAUUGGCCAUAACCAUGAGAAUUUCUGCCAACACAUCAUCCACAAUUUCAGCGGGGGAUGCCUGGGUUGAGAAUGAUUGGCAGCAGCCAAAAAUACUAGGGGCAAAAGUUGGCCAAUUGAGGAGGACUCCAACUGGGAUGGAUUUAAUAUAAUUCUGUAUUAGAAAUCAGCAGUAAAUCACAACAUUAAACAACCAAAGAAAAAAAUGUACUUCCCUAAUAGAAAAAGCUAAAGCAAGUGACUCAAGAUUGUUAACAGGACUAGAGUCGAAAGAAAUAUAAUGUCAUAAUUCAGUGUUGCAAAAAGAGUUUCCCAAUCUCAAAUUGUGUUCUCUGAGUUGAUUGUGAAAUGAGUCUUACCUACACCCAUGUAUGCCAACAGGCCUCCAUAAUAUAAAAUACUGUUCAUACCUUCCUAGUUCAAACUUAACAUGAGAUAAACUUCAUGGCAUAUAACCCGAUCACUUUAACCAACACCUAUUUCACAUGCAAACACCAACCCUACCUCAUCUCUCUCUCCCCCACCCCCCACCCCCACCCCCAAAAAAAAAAGCUGCAAACAAUCAUCACCACAAACAACAUUUUCAUGUAUCAUGUCUCUUACUAAAGAUCAAAACCUUAAUUGUUGGACCUGGGCCAGCUUGAAUCAAAGUUCAUUUCUUUUGUCUAGUUACUGAUAACGACAGUAGCUCUAAGCACACUUGCACAAACAAGAACAACCCUAUCUAACUACUCUUCAUAAACAAAUAAAAAAAGCACUAACUUUGUCAAGCUUCAUUCCAUGAAAAUAAACUAUAGCCUACUCUAACCACUCCAAAAUAUAAAGGGUAAAGACCUUCGCAUAUCAUGUAUGUUCCUUUCCUCUCAAAAUCAAUAAAAAUAAGCAUUUGGCACUCACUCCAUUUAUUAUUUACUUCUUUGGCAACUCUUUAUUUCGAACUUUUCACAUAACAUGCUUACCACGGCAAGAUUAAAGUCGUAUUUUCAGCAUUAAGAGAAAACUAGAUAAACAAAUCAGUAUAUCGGAGGGGAUAAGCAUUUUCAGGUAAAAGAAACUGAAAAACCCAAACGAACAAUACUCACAUAAAGAAAGAAAUUUCCAGAGCGAUGCAAUGUGUUGAGUGCCCAAAAUCCUUUAGCAGAAGAGUGUACCCCAACAGAAACACUAUAGUUCAAUUGAUUAAAACAAGAACGACAUAAUAGGAAAGUUAAAGUGGUCAGCUUUGCUCUGCCAUUGAAAGCAGCUGCUACCAUCUUUUCUGCAGAGAUUUUAGGGGUUUUAUGAAACCCAAAUUAGGGUUUUAACUGCAUCGAGUGGCGAAAUUGUAGAUUCGAUGUCUGUUCAGAAGCGAAGGUGAAUUGGGGGAAGAGCCUAAAACCCCUAACUUUCAUGGUGUCUCAAGAGCUAAUAGAAAAACCCUUAGUUCGCAUUUUCGGCUGUGGAAGGACUGGGACAACGUGUAUUAUUGCCUAUCUGAUGUUUUUAAAACACAAUAACUUUAUUAAGUAUAAACAAAUAAAUAUAUAGUUUUAUGAUUAAAAAUAAUAGUACUAUGUAUUUUAUGUAUGUAGACGUUAUUUGGUUGGAGCUGAAAAAAAAAGUAUGAAAAUUAUUAUUUUAUAAAUAGUAUUUUCGUGUGAUAUGCUUACAGAAUAGUUUGACGCGACUUUAGAACAUACGGUAAAAAAGAAUUUUCUUGAAAAAUUGUGAAAUUCUAAUAAUGGCAUCAUGGCAAAAGGUUCAUAAAGUUCUUAAGUUAUACGACCUAUUACUUUGUUUUGAGCUAAAUGCUUAAAUUAUUUCAUAUGAUAUCAGAAUGCUACGUUUGAUAAGUUUGUUCUCACUACCUGAUGUUUCUAAUCAAGAUAAUGUAUUGGUUACAUGUACUUUCUGACUCUCACAAGUCACAAGCCUGUAUUUAAGAUGUGCUAGCUAAUCUCAAGAGAGAACAUUACGUAAAAUAGUUUUUAGAGUUUUUGUACUUGUUUGAGACUAUGGCGUAGUUACUAUUGUUGUUGUAUGAGUUUGUCAAGUUAUAUAAUAAUGUCUCUAGUUUCUGCAGAUGACUCAUCUGCCUAAAACAUAUGAAAAUAUGGAAUUCAUAUAGCUACAUGAGUUACAAAAGAAAAAGAAGAAUCAAGAACUUUCAAACACAACCAUUGCCUCAUCAAUGGGGAGUAACUAACCAAGGUGUAGUUAGCUAUUGAGGUACUAAAGAGUUGAACCAAGUGGCGAAAGGUUGCAUUUAGUAAAGAGUGAGAAGCAUAUAGAGGUUCACAACACUAUUGAUACCUAUGUUGCUCUGACUCUUCGAAAAUGUCUGACGAAUGCGUGUCAAAUACUCUAAAGUAGUGCAUUUUGGGGAAUCCAACACAGGUGCGGCAAUAAUUUUAGAGAGUCUUGAGUAACAUAGCUUGAUACUACUUUGACAACAAGAGAAGCAUCUUAAAAGGUAUGCAACAGAUGACAUCAAUCUUGAACUGAAAAUUACAUAUCCUAUGUCAAGAACUCAAAAGGAUGAGAAAGGUAUUUCUUGGUUAAGUAUAAGAAUUAAGAAGAUAAGUAGUUCUGAAGUAUCUAUAGAAGAACUUUUAAUGUCCAGUAAGUGCCGUCUGUCCAUUUGAUGCAGCCCUGAGUUUAGACAGAUAUUGAAGUGAAAUAACCUGAAUUAUAUCAUAUCACUGUCAUCCUUAAGUUAGAGAGCUGUAGAAGUUUGUUUCUUGAAAGAGAAACUGCAUUUCACAACAGAUAUGUAGAGAUGAUUAAUCACAAGAUGUCUAUGCAGACUGGGAAACAUCAAGAAGCUAGGGAGUAAAGCUAGACUUGUAGUCCAAACUCGAAAAAAUGAAAUAAGCAUACACCAAAGAACAUAAAAGAAAAAUUCUGUUUUGAAUGAAACCACCACCAAUGACAAUACCAACACACAGAAGAGAAACAAAGGUCUUUUAUCAAUUAAGCCACCACCAAUAAUGUAGGGAAGGAUACACAAAUCUAGGCUGGAGAAACACUAAUAUCAGAGUUACAUUGACUUCAACUGCCAAAAUGCUUCAGCCGCUUAAACCUUAAGAAGCUGCCCGGGGGUGAGGGGUGGGUAAGUAUGAAGAUGAUAUUAGUUACAAGUAUGUUGGAGAUGGCUAUGAAAAGAAAGUAGCAUAAGAACCUCAAGGGAAGACUAAGUCACUAAGAUGCAACUUCCAUCAUGAGACACUUGGGACAACAACAACAAAACCAGUGAAAUCCUAUAGGUGGGGCGAAAACGAGGAACCUAACCAAUAAGCCAAACAUAGUCCUUUUUGACACUUUCGGACAUAAGGUCGAUCAUACACAAACUUUUCCAACCAGAGGAGUGCAGCAUGUAAUAGAAAUCUUAAGUCAUUAAUUUGCCUCAAAAGCAUGAGAUCUUAUAUUGUCAUCAAAGUGAACUAUGAAGCACAGAAGUAAGUUUCUUCCCUUGCAAAAUUCUAAAAUAGCUGAAACAACAACCUAUAUAUAACAAGGAGGAAGCAAUAGCGAUGUCCAACAUUUUCCUUAGUAAAAGUAACUUGGCCACAUACUGCAACACGAAGCCUUAUUCAUAUUGUAACAAACAAGCUAGAAUACUAGUGUGCCUCAUAUAAGAUUGAACAAAAAUUAAAAGGCAGGACUGAAAAUAUAAAGAUCAUAACGAAAAGGGUGAGCUCCCCUUAUUUCACAUUAUUCCUCUUCAGCAUCUUCGUCACCAAAACUGAGAACUUGACAGACUGAUGGCUCCUUAUCUUCAUCACUGCUGAAAAAGGAUUUCUUGCCUAUCAACUCAAUCACUCUUUUGGCAGGUCCAGAAUCCCUAGGAGUCUCACUGACGGUGCACCGAGCAAUCCUAAUUUUAGGAAGCAAAUCAGGUUUCACAGUAAUGCUCAGUGGAGAUUUUUCACUUUCUGUGCUAGCAUGAACUACUAUCUCACUAGGAAUUUCCCAUCUCUUUUUUACCCUGCUUUCAGUACCCAAAUUCUUGUUUUCUGUUUGUGAUACGCGCGUUUUCCCUACAGAUAAAGAUCGUUUCUUUUCAUUUCUCUUAGUCUCAUCCUUAUCAUUCUCAGGUAAAGACCUCUUUCUCACUACUGAUGACUGAUUCAUGCUCUGAUUGUACCUACUAGCCACAACCCUCCCUGGCCUCUGAGGCUUCUUGCUAGCAGGAACAGAUUUUUCGCCAUCUUUGAAUAACUUCUUUGGCUGAACUGAACUCAGAAAUGCAUCAUCCUUCUUCAGAUUCUUCUUUGAUGCAAUUGUAGUAACUGCCUGCCUUGAAGUCAUAGUUCUUGCUGCAGCUUUUCUUGAUUUGGGACUAAGGCUUGAAGUUUUCCCCCUUUCUUCUUCAAUCUCUUGAAGCUUCCAAAAACAAGACUUUCGCCUGUUUUGUAUUUGCUGAAUUGGGGUAAUCAUCCCCUGCUUGCCCGAUGUCCCUGCCUUUGUCCCUGCAAAAAUCUCUGAUGGCCCCAUACUCAACCCUCGACUACGCGUUCCAGCGAAAAUCUCAGAUGGUCCUAAACUAAGACCCCUUCUUGUCUGUACCUUUGUUUUUGCACUCAUUGAUGAACUCUCAUCAAUCUUUUUCUUCUCCUCUCCAAUCUUAACACUCAUUUUUGGCUCCAUAAACUUUGCUGGCACAACCCUCCCUCUCUUUUCAACAAUCUUGAAACUUUUUUCGGCCUUUUCAAAUCUCAAUGCCUCUAAUUUCGAAUUCAAUCUACUAAUCUCCUUUUCAAUUUCUUCAAUUUCCUCAUCAAUCCUCUUUUCAUCACGGAAAUCGCUAUCCUUUCCACUCUUUCUACUUGUCAUGCUCAUCUCAUCAACACUCUGUUUAGAAAUGGACUUGUUUAGUUUGAGUCUUGAAUUCUCCAUAGCCCCAUUUGGGUUUAGCGGCUUGAAGGGCAUCGAAACUGACAGAUUAACAGAUGAAGAAUUCUCAAACGAAGGAGUUUGAUUCUCCUUGCUUGAUACAUCAGAUUCAAAGGAAUCCGUUAACCAAGAACGUUUAAGUGAAGAAAAAUCUGCAGAAUCGCCAUUAUCAAAAGCAGCAUUGUUCCAUAUCUGAACAUCUGCUGGAUUAAUCCCUUCUGGGUAUUGUAAAACACUCAUUUUUCUCAAAUGGGUUUCAAAAAAUUUCAGAAAAGAAGUAACAAAAUAGAUGAAUCUUGAAAAUUUCUUGAUGUAGAUGGAGAGAAAAGUUUGUUCUGAAUUGGGGAAAAUUGUUUGAGCCGUUUUGUAUUUUCAAUUUUUUGACCGUUGGGGACAGAGAAAUCAAACGUUAGAUUGUCCGCUCCAUCGUGGCCGUUGGAUAUUAAACGGCUCGAAUUGACGCUCCGAUUUUGAUUUAAAGGCUAAAAAUUGGGUCAUAAACGGUGGUUAAGUUCUGAUUUAACAACGUGCUCACGCUCCUCUCUCCCUUCAAGGGGAUAUUAGGUACUUUAUUACCUCUAUUAAUUAUAAGUUAUUUAAUAAUUAAAAAAUAUAUAUAUAAUUUAAAUAGUAACUAUAAAAUAGGGAAAAUAAUAGAGGAAAUACAAUGUAAUCACGUGGUUGAAUUAACUAUUUAAGUAUAUUAUUAAGAUUAUUUUUCUAUUUUUAAAAUUUGUGUAAUAUAAAUUUUGAAAAAUUAUUCUUUGGACAAUAUGAAAUUUGGGUUUGAUACUUACUUAAUCAUAUAAAGUUCAACCUUAAAACUAAAUCUUAACUAUUAUCUUAUAUUUGUAAUAUAAGUUACAAAAUUUUGAUUGUGAUAUAAUGUUUAAAUAAUUUACAAAAUUCUAGAUUGUAAUCUAAAGUUUUUUUAAAAAUAAUCUUCCAAUUUUCUAAAAAAAUUAAUUAAGAAUAUAUAUAUAUAUAUAACUAUCCAAAAAAGAGAUCAUAGACGAAAAUUUUUAACAAUUAUAUUUCACGAAUUGAGGGCUAAUUGAAUUUUAAUGAAAAAUUUUCAUAAUUAACGCUAUUAAUACUCGUUUUCACAAAAAUAUAAUCAUAAUUGACUAGCAAGGCUACACUUCUUUUUAUUAUAACUGAAUGUGUAUAUAUGUGUGAGUAUGUAUGUGUUCUCAUAAUAAAAGUGGGAUAUACUACAUAACUAUUCCCAAAAGGAUAUUAAAGACGAAUUUUUUUCAAUAAUCACACUUUACGAAUUAAGCUCUAGUUAAAUUUUCAUAAAUAACGCUAUUAUCACUCAUUUUUGUAAAAUCUAAUCCCAAUUGAGAUCUCUAAGGAUACAAUAUUUGAUCGCAUCUAUAUGUGUAUAUAUGUUUGUAUUCUCAAAGCAGAAGUUUGGAUGUAUGUACCAUCAAUUUUACAUAUAUGUUUUCAGGGGUCGUUUGGUACAAAAAUGAAUAAUGCAGCGAUUAGUAAUGCAAGGAUUAUUUUUAUCAAGUGUUUGGUUCAUUGUUUCUUAUCUAAUUUUGUGUGUGGUUUAAAAAUUUCAAACAAAAAAAAACUUUCCAAUUAUACCUAGAGUUAUUAUGAGAUUUUGUAUUUCAUGUAAUUGAGUUAAAGUAGAUAAUUAACGAAGAAUAUUUUUUUUAUAACAUUUUUAACUAGUUAGGAGAAUAAAAUUUUUAUUGUCAUGUUCAUUAUUUUCUCACUUAAAUUAUUUGAGAGUAAAUAAUUGUCAUCUUAAUAAAUUAGAGUUAAUAACUCAAAAGGUCACACAACUAUAAUGAUUAUAGAGAAAAUUUAUUGAACUUUGUUUUGUAUCAAUAAAUUUUAAAAAACUCUUUAUCAUAAAAUAAGAUAAAAAUAUAAAAUAAAUUAAACUAUAUUUAUACUCGAGAUGUGUGUGUGUGUAUAUAUAUAUAUAUACACACUCUUGUUUUAGACUACUUGAGUAAUGUUUAAUGAACUUUCAUUAAGAGACAAUAUUUUACUUAUGAAUUGUUCUUAAAUUUAUACAUCAAACAUUAACAUAUUAGUCGGAUUAUAAUAAUUUAUAUUAAUAAUAAAUAGAUUAAGUAAUUCAUAUUUUAGAAACAAAAAAUUAUAUCUAAAUAAUGAAAUUGUAAGCUAAUUUAUUUAAAUAACUUUAUUAGUAUAAAUAUAAAAUAUAAAAUAUAAAAUCAAAAAAAAAUAUUAAAAGGAUUUGAGGGGUAUUUUUGUCUUUACCUAGAAUAGUCCUAUGGUAUUAGAGUUAAUACCUCCAAAAGGAAGGUAUUAAUAAUACAUCACACAAUACCAUGUAGGAUGUAUUAACUAAUCCAUAGAUUAGUUAUACAUAGGCUCACAUUCCUACCAAACACAAUAUUAAAUUAUAUCAUAUCUAAUAUAUGGAUUAUUUUUUUUAAUACAGCUUACCAAACGACCCCUUAAAGUUCCAACUAUAACGUUGGUCAACUAUAUGCGAAAGAUAUGUACAGUGUAUCUUGUGCCUCUUUCAAACUUUCCUUUCCUAGAAUAGUUGCGGGCCUUAUUCUCUAAGAUAUGAUUGUGAUGUUCGUGUUAACUUUCGCUCACCUUAACUCUAGAAUAAAUGGAAAAAACAUGAUCAAUUUUAUUUUUAUUUUACCUAUUUUAACUUGAAUAACUUUAAACAUAUUAAUAAUUUAUUUAUUAAUUUAAAUAAUUUUAAUCAACUUAAAUUCAAUUUCGCUUUCAAUCACACCGCGUAACCACCACCUAGCACUUCCUAAAGAAAACAAGAUUUGAUGAUGCGUCAUAACGCAACAUAGUAGCCCUCGAGGCACAACCAUUCAGCAAAGACGAUCUCAUCAUAUCCAAGAUCGGAUUUUUUUAUUUUUUUUUACAAAUGCAGUAUCUAGCUGUCCAUUAAGAAUCAGAUUAUUAUCCAAAAUAAAUGCUAAAAUUUGUUCACACUAAAUCCAAAUUUAAGUUUGCUCUAAUAAAAAAUGAAGUUUGCUACUUCCUCUUGCUCAUUAUUAUGUGAGUAAUAUAUUAUGUCACACGCUCUCUAUUUUAAUUUGUUAAAAAAUAAUUUAUUUUAUUUUUUUGUUAAUUUAUAAAAAAGUAUUUGACUAACUGCAAAAUUUUAAAAUGAAAGAUAUCUUUUAAAUUUGUUUCAAAAUAAGUCAUGAAUAUGUAUAAAUCAUCUCAUUAAAAUGUGAUCAUAAAUUUUAGAUAAGAUUUUAAAAAAUUAUUUAAAAAUAAUUUGUUUGAUCAUAAUUGACAAGAUUUUCAGAAUUUGAUGAACAAUAUUUAAAAGAAAUUUUACUCACUCAGUAAACUUUUUUUCUCCAAAUAAAUACAUAGAAUUCACAAUUUUAAAAUUUAUAACAAAAAUAAAAUUUAAAUAUAAAAAUGUAUUCUUUUUCAAAGUGACUAAAAAGGAAAAGAAAUAUUAUAUAAAUUAUGAUAAGUAAAAGAUUUUAUUUUUAUUGUUAAGUGACACGAUUCCUUGAACUUUACUUUUUAUACAAAACAAAUAAAUAAGACAUAAAACUCCCCCUCUCCCCAACCCCACUGAUUAAAAGUAUAGAUUUGAUACUUAUAAUUGUCUUAUUCAUGCACAAAAACUUUUUCCAUAAAAUAGGAAGGAUGUACUAGUAUUAAAUUCCAUAGAUUCACCAUUUCCUAGUAAUUUUAGAUUUAUUUAAAAAAGUUAAAGUAUUUUUGUGUUUGAAUUUUUUUAUUAGUAAUUUUUUCUUUAUUAAGGUCACCUUUCAUUUUUUUCCUUUAUAAAAUAUCUUUCGUGAAAUUUCUAUCGAAUCUAUAGCAGUUUUCUCCUUUUUUUAGACACCCUUUAUUUUUCCCUUUUUCUGGAUACCUUUCGUUUUUUGUUUUUUUUUUGAAUAUUCUUCGUAAAAUUUUUAUAAAUCUCACUAGGAGCAAUAUUUUUUACCUUUCCUUUGAACACCCUUCGUUUUUUCCUUUUUUUUCAAUAUUUUUUAUUUAAUUUCUGACUCCACCACUGCUUGAUGCUAUAUAAACAACUCCAAGGAGGUCUGUACUAAACCUUCAAAUCAACCAAGAAAAAGAAGUUGAAACAAUUCUCAAAAAUCUCUACUUUUUAACCAUGUCUAUCACUAAGAAAAAAUCCAAUCUCAUAUUUGCCUUGAUGCUUUUGCUUACUCUAUCUACCAAUCUUUCAAAUAGUGAAAGGCUAACAUUCAAAGUUGUAUCACAAAAAGCAAUUAGCAAUACUGGAGAUGGAUCUUCAUAUAUUCUUCCAAUGUUACCAAGAGGCCCAUCACCACCAUCUGGGGCUAAUCCAUCGCCACCCUAUGCAAUGAUUCACAAGGAUCAGUAUACUUCACCCCCAAAAAAUUAGUGUUAUUCAAUGAAAUUGGUCCUUUAAUUAUAUAUUUUGAUCAAUAAACUUACUUUCUUGGUUGGGCUGAUGGAUUUAUCAUUUGUCUAUGUGUUUUGUUUACAUACUGUAAUUUCUUUAUAACGAUAUUGUGUUCUGAUAUUCUUUUAAUUGUUAUAAGAGAACUAUAGAGAAGCUAAGUUUGAUAAUUUGCUUUAAUUUACACAUAGUUCAACAUAGAAGCAUCAUGGUCCAUUAAUUUAUUGAGAUCAAUAAAAAAAAAAACUAAUACAAGCUUAGUUAUUUGGUUUCUUGUUCAUUCACAAAUUUAACUCUAUGAGUUCUGAGGAAAUAUAGCCAUCAAGGCACAAUUACUGACCAAUAAACAGCUUUUUACAGUCAAGAUUUGGAUUUACUGAACUGAAGUCAUCAAUUGUCAAUUCAAAAUUCUUAAUAACGCUAAUAUAUGUCUCACUGUCUUGAACAUCAUAUAUUGUAUCUCAGUAAUCAAAUUCCCCAUGGAUCCAUCUAUAAAUCACCCAAUCCAUCCAAAAAUAGAAAAGGAGAUGACAAUUGUUAAGAAGGGAAUUAAGUGUAAUCAUUGGCAAUAUUCAUGUAGGAAAAAAAAUUAUAUAUUCAACCAUCAAUGUGUCAUUAUUAAUAACACUUGUACUAUAAGAAAUUUAUCUUUCCUAUAUUCUAUUGUGUUUUUUUUUUGGUAUUGUAACAUUGUUAGUUUCCUAGCUCCUUGUAUUAUAUUAAAAGAAUUUGUUGAAUUUUAAUAAUACACUUAUACUGAUGAAUUUUAAGUAUAACAAAGUUGGAGUCCUCACUCUCCUCCUCCUAUGUGCUACUUUUUAUUUUAAUAUUCCUUUUUUCAAUUAAUAAAAAAAAAUUACUUCAACAACUUAUCAUUAUGUAUACUUAAUUAAAAUGGUUAAUUGUGUUUGAAACAGUUUUUAUAUUGGGAAGCAAUUAUUUGGAAUUUGCAGAAGCCAAAAUUUGUCCUGAUUAUUGUCAGCUGAAUAUUGCUUACAUGUAAUGACUAAAGAGACUCGAUGCAGAGGAUUCGAAUUUCGAAUUUCGAAUUUUGAGAAAAGGAAAGUAUUAGAAAGUGAAGUAAUUAAAAAGAGCGACAUCCUUUCUUUUUUAAUAAGUUUUUAAUUUCAGCUUUUCACGAUAUGUUUAACGUCAUAAGAUUAAAAGACAUUUUAAUAUAUUUAACAGAAUUUUUAUUUAAAACGAUAAUAUUAAAAGAUCUUCUUUAUUUUUUUAAAUUUUAUGUCAAGUCAAACUAUGUCAUUUUUUAAAAUCUAAGAGAGUAUAUAGCUAGGUUAUUAUGUGAUACCCCAUAAUCCUCAGUUAGCCUAUGACUAUUGUAAGCAUCGUAGAAUCUCUCAGUUAGCUAGAAUAUAUAAGGUUCACUCAACGAAUAAUCAGGGUUGAGUGUCAAUUAACCAAUUCAGAUUUGUAUUAAUUAAUAAUACUGAAUAAUUGUUUGCUAAUAAGGGGAAUUAACCAAAAUAGACGUUUACCAAACUGAUUAAAUUAUCAAUAUCGAUGUAUAAUAUGUAUAUGAUUAUGUAUAAUGAAUUUAUAUCGGCUAAGAAAAAGUAAUCGGUAAAAAGCAAAGAGCUAAGCCAUUUGUGUCGUGAUAAAAGUUAGACCUCAUAAAGACGGCCAGUAUAUAAUGAAGUUAAGCGGGAAAAAAAAUAAAAAAAGUUAAGCUGGAAAGAAAUAACAAAACAAAGGAUCAAGUUCUCAUUAUAAAUAUGGAAACAUCACACUGUUACAACAUAGACCUUGGCUAAACCAUGAGUAAUUAAGAUUUUUAAAACACAAGACAUUGCUUAAUUAGAUAAUAGUAACUCGAUUGAGGAUAAUUUGCUUGCUGCAUCUUAAUUUAGCGAUGCAUAUAAUACUUAAUAAUAAGCAUAAUCAUGAAAUGCGAUUCAAUUAGGUAGAUAUGGUGCCGUUGGUACAUAGCCAUUCACCAACAAAAAUGUUGUCACAAUUGAGAUUUGGAUUAAUAUCGUUGAAGACUUGAGCGUUUAGAUCGAAAAACUCUAUAAGACUUUCACAAGUAUCACCAGCUUGUGCUGCAUAAAUCCUUGUACAAUCUGGAUUUACAAUAUUUGUUCCCUUGAAAAACACUGAAAAAAAAUAUAUAUAAUGUAAGCUCAAAGAUGAAGAAAAAUAAUUUAUAAGCACAAGUGUGAAUUAAUUAAACGUAACUAAAAUAUAUAUACACCUGCAAGUCCUUGGUAUGAAGUUAGAAUGAGAAGAAAAGAGAGGACUAAAAUUAAGUAAUUUAUGGAAUAAUUUCUUGCCUUAACCAUGAUUAUUGAAUAAACAAAAUUGUAUUUUGUGAUUAAUUCUAAUUUGUUUAUAAAUUGAAGUUCUUGAGUGUCUAAUGCUUAAUUUGAUUGUCUAUUUAUAGUCCAUAUGAGAAAGAAUUAGAAUCUCUUUUGUUAGAAAAAAACAAUUAUGUUCACAAGUUGAUGUAUAUUGUGACAAUGUGGCAAGUUAUUUUUUCUUUUGUACUUUCAUUUUCAGCAUUUAUGAGUCAUGCUAAUUUUGCCGAAUGUACCUGUUCAAAUUUAAGUCUUUAUGCUUGGAAGUUAUAAAUAAUUGUUUAAGAAGAGUAAGCUUAAGCUAAAAAUGACUUAAUUAUUUUUGGAAUAAACAUUCGACUCUUUCACCAAUUGAAUGCCGUUUAUAGGGGAAUCUUUUAAUUUGUGACAAUGUUUUUCAUCUUACAAUAUCUACUUUAUUUUUAUAUCAAUUAAUUUUAUCUACUUCAAUCAUUUCAAUUUACGUGUAGAAAUGAAUUUUAGAUUUGCGCUUAUUAAAUUCAGAAAAUAAUGACAACUAAAUAUGUUAGAAAAAUAUAAAUAAAAUUUCAAAAGAAAAGAUAAUGUUAGACAAAGUAUUUAGCGGUCUUUUAUUAAUAAAAUAAAGAGGGGAACUAAAAACGUCUUCAACCUAUUUGAUUUGGUUCACUGUAGCCCUCAGUUAACUUAUUGAUUGAUUGAGUCCGGAGCCUAAAGGGUAAAAAAUGUUAACAAAAAUUUCAAAACGGUAUAUAAAAUUUCUUUUUAACCAAAAGGGCAAAAUCACUCGCGAAGUAGCGAUUUUGUCCACUGAAAAAAGCAAAAUCGCUGCUAUAGCAGCUAUUUGUUAAAUUUGUUUUUUUAAAAAAAAAAAAAUAUAACAAAAUCGCUCCCGAGGAGUGAUUUUUAAAAUAAAAAUCUUUUUUUUAAUAUUUCUUUUAUAUGUCGCUGCUUAGGCAGCGACUUGUGUAUAAUUUUUUUAAUUUAUAUUUUUUGUUUUUUUUUUAUAAAAAAAGUUUAAAUCAAUUUUUUUAUUUAUUUUUUAAAUCAAAUAGCUGCCAAGGCAAUGAUUUUUAAUUAACUUUUUUUUAAAAAAAAUAAAUAAAUCGCUGCCAAGACAGCGAUUUUAAAUCAAUUUUUUUUAGUGAUUUAAUUUUUAAAAAUUAAAAAAGAAAUAAUUAAAAAUCACAGCAAUUUAAUUUUAAAAAAAUAUUUUUUUUCAUUUAAACUUUUUUAAAUAAAAGAAGCAAAAAUAAAAAUAAAAAUUAAGGUAAUGUCGCUGCAUAAGCAGCGACUUACUUAAAAAGGUUAUAAAAAAAUAUUUGAAAAUUGAAAAUCGCUCCCUCGGGAGCGAUUUCGUUUUAAUUUUAUUUUUUUAAAAAAAUCAAAUUUAACAAAAUCGCUGCUAUAGCAGCGAUUUUGCUUUUUCCAAUGGACAAAAUCGCUACUUCGCGAACAAUUUUGCCCUUUUAGUUAAAAAGAAAUUUCAUAUAUCGUUUUAAAAUUUUUGUUAAUAUUUUUUGCCCUUUAGACUUCGAACUCUUGAUUGAUUCCCUAGUGUCUCUAGCAUUAUUUUUUGGCUCAUAUUUACCUCCCUUAAAUAAACAGACUCAAUAUUAUCGAAAAUAUUCAAGUAAACAAAAGACCCGGUCCUCUUAUUCUUCCUUGCCCAAAAACUUAAUUUUUCAAGAAAUUGUUUUAAAGUUUUUGAAAUGAAUAAAAUAACUUUAUACUACCUACAAUUUGCCUGGUAUAAAAUAACUACACAAAAUCUGAGAAAAAUAAAUAUUUUAAAAAUUGAUAGUCCUUGUGCAUUUUAAAAGCUUUUCCUUAAGAAUAAAACAAAAAAACUAAAAAUAAUUAUUUUGAAAUUUAAGAAUUUAUAAUUAUACUUUUUAAAAAAAUAAAAAAAUAAUAUCACACAAAGAAUAAAAAUGAUAAUUUUUAUCUCCUGCGUAAACUAAUUUUACAAAAAUCAAUAUUUUAACAUGAAUGAGGCACAUCUGUUUAGCUCUUAAAGAGUUGAGAAGAGAAUCUCCUUUCGGCCAGUUAUCAUCACUCGAUUUUGAAUUUGAAAAAUUGAGUUUUUAUGUGAUUUUGAGUUUUUCUGUGAUUUAUUAUUAUCUUCAUUUUUAAUAAUUUAUUAAUUUUCUUAAAAACACACGGUAAAUUUUAUAGUAAAAUAUUUUUUAACUUUUCAUUUCAUACUAUAUGACCAUUCAAUACCUUAGCGACGUGCGAUGCAAUAAAUAAAUUAUUUUGGCUAGUGAUCAAUUAUCACAAUAUAAGUCGUAACUUCAAUAAAAGACAAAUAAUAUCACUUCAUAAUUGAUAGUACAACAUAACCAAGUAAAUUUCUUGGUUUUACCAUGGAUAAGAAAAGGGAUACAAACAUAUAAUAGAGAUUUAAUUUGCAUCUAAGAGAUGCAUACAUUUAUAAUCUAGUACAAUAUAUUGAUUCAUGUCCAUCUUCAAGUAGAUAAGGUGCCAUUGAGACAUACAUAUUCACCCACAAAAAGAUUGUCACAGUUGAGGUUUGGAUUCAAAGAACUGAAUUUCUCUGCUUCAAAUGACUUGAUAAUACUAUCACAAGUAUCACCAGUAUCUACAUUAUAAAUGACCGUACAAGUUGGAACAGCUUGAGAUGUGACGUUAUUAGAUCCUGGAGUAAACAAAAACAAGUAAAAAAAAUGGAAUGUGAGUUUAUAGAUGAAGGAAAUGAUAAUUAUGUAACAAGUAGUAAAAUUAAUGCAAUGAAAUAAAUAAAUGUUCAUACUAAGAAUUCGUCGUCCCAUAGAUGGAGUACUCAAAAUGAGAAGAAAAGUAAGGAGUAAGGCUAAGUUCAAGGAAUUAUUGCUAGCCUUGGCCAUCAUUAAUCGAACAAAAUGUAAUUGAUUUUAAUUAAGCUUAUUGAGUAGUGCUUAAUACUUUGUUUGAGAUCAUGUGUAUUUAUAGGACCAUACAAGAAACAAUAAUUAAAAAUCUAAUUUCAUUAGUUUGUGAAAAAAGUGGAUUUUGUGUUGUUUAUUUCCUUCUCAACAUUUACUAAUUAGGGGAAUGUUGCCGACUAUGUGUGUACUUGGUCAAAGUGAGGUAGAAACUACAAAGAGUUUUAUAUAGAUACAAUCUAUAUAUAUAUAUAUAUAUAUAUAUAUAUAUAUAUGGAUAUAUUUAAUCAAAAUUAGAUAUAAUUUAUUUUAGAUAUAAUGUAUCUAAGUGAAUCCGCAUAUAUCUGAAAUAUGUAAUGAAUCUCAUCACUUCCCUCUUGUCUUGCUCACCACUCUCUUAUGUAUCUAAUAUCCUAGAUACAUUCAAAUUAAUUGCACUAGAUAUAUUCAUAGCAUUCACUUGUGUAUCUAAUGUUCUUGUUUCAUCUCUUUAAUAAGUCGUACACAAUUUAAUUUCUCUAUUGACAUUGAAACAAACGUAUCAUACAUAUUUUUACAUCAUAAGGUUAAGAUUAGAGCUAGAGCUAUUUACAAUUUGAUUCAACUCGACAAAAAUAUAAAUUGAAAAAUAAAUUGGUAAUAUUUCAAUUGGAUUGGUUUUAUUCUUUAAACUUUUUUUUUAAAAAAACAAAUUGAAUAACUGUUUUAUCGAAAAAGUUAUUUUUCGAAAAAGAGUUUGUUUUAUUAAAGGGUAUUUUUGACUUUUUGGAGUCGCCACUUAAUUUUUAAGGAAAAUUAAGAAAACUUUAAUUUUCAAAAGACUUAACAGAAAAAUCGAUUGAAAAUAUUAAAGGGGUUCGGAAUUCCUAUUAGCGUCUUAGGAAGGUGUUUAAAACACCUAAGACGCUCCGCUAACUACGGUUUUCCGACGACUAACUAUUUGACUAUUUUGUUUUAAUUUUUACAAGUCGAAGUUAAAACUUUAUCAGAAUCUACUUAACCAUACUUUGCAACUUUAAAAUAUUUAUCUUGCAAAUUUUCCUUAAAGUUAAAACUCUCUAAAACGGACUUGAAAUAUUAUUGUUUUAAGAUUUUUGUCAAAGUUAAACUUAACUUCAAAUCUAAGCAAUUUUCAAAGCUAAACCUCUAUUGCUUUAAAAUUUCGAUUUUAGUUUUUAAGUUGAUAAAACAAAAGGCGUCAAUGGGGGUUUGGAGUUUCCUAAUCCUAAGCUAACGACAUUGAAGAAAAAACAAGAUAAGCAAAUAGUAAAGAGAGAGAGAGAGAUUCGGGUCCAAGUUUCGGAUGUUGUUCACCUUGGCCGAAACUCGGACGCACCUGCUUUUGGGUUUUUGACCCAUUUUGUACCUGUCCUAAUCUAAACAUACAAAUAAGAUAUCAAAAUAAAACAACGAGGGCUCAUGCCCAUUACAAAAAUAAAAUACAUAAUAAAAAUAAGGUAAAGUCUUCUAGUCCGUCUUCUUUAAACUUCUUCAUUCUUCAUGGACUUUCGAAUCUGCAUUUCCGUCUUGAUAGGUUGACUCGAAAGGAUGAAAUUAAGCCCUUAUGGCUUUCUCAAGAUGUGGGCAGAGAUGAGAGUCCUUAUCGAACUCGGACAGGUUUAGCAUGCCACAAAUUAAAAUGAGAAGAGUAAAUAUAUAACCCAGGGCAACAUAAUCGGAAGAAAGUUAACUAACUUAAUGGAAAAUUACACACUUUAUUCAUGAAAGAUAUGUAUCAAUAAAUAACUCCACUAAAGGAGAUUGCACAGAGGCGUAUCGAAAAACUCAGCGAGACAAAUUUGUAAGGCAAGAGGGAGGGAACGAAAACAGCCAACAUGGCUCCACGAUGAUGAGUGUCAUUGAGAGACACCCUCAAUCGUGGACAACAGCAACGGCAACUCUGCCUAAAGGGACAGCAUCCCUUUCUGCCCUUCAAAUCACCGAAUGCGCUAGAUUUCGACAUUAAGGAAACACAUCAUACUACCCACCAUAAUACAAACCUCAAAGCAAAUGAAACAUGUCAAGAGCUAACUAAAGACUCGCACUAAAGAAAACCGAAUGAACAUGCUCGAAACAACACAACGGAUGCAAAGACUUCCAUACAAGAUGGAGCAGCAAGUUCAGAAAAUCGAAGUUAACUUCUUUAACAGCCAUGAAUCGCAGAAACUAACCAGAACAAACCCAAUAAAUCGCAAUAACAUUCACGACAGACAGGAUUAACAAUAACUCAACCUAAAAUCAACGACGAUAUUUUGCUAGAACUCGAACUUGAAUCGUCUUUGAAUCACAAAAUCAUCAAGACGUGCCACAAGUGCAACACAGACUUCGAACAAUCCAAACACCAUAGGCCAAAUCUUAAAUUUUGACGUCUCGAUUCAUUCUUUCAACUUGGGGUGAAUGAAUGAAGGAUGAGACAUCGAAUGUUCAGCAUCACUUCAAAUACUACUCAAUGAGAGAAAGGAAGAAAGAAAAGACAUGCUCGAUAAGAACGAGAACACAGAACCAUCUUCGUUAAAGUAUGCAGACCUCUAGACUAUAACCAAACAACGUAUUCAUUCAAAAGAACUACUCAAGAAACGCAUGAAUUGUAUAAACGAAUAAAACAGUCUAGCAAACUCCAGCAGACAUAUCCCUUAAGGUUACUCCAACAGUGACAAACAAUCCCAAAGAUGCAUAACAGAAAGCUCUCCACCCUCACCCCAUCUAAUCGAGACAAAAGGGAAUUUAUAUAAAAGAAGUGUUCACCUGUUGAGGAGCAGCGACGCCGGGAAACGAGCAGUAAACAGCGAUGACUCCCACCAAUUGAACACACGAAUGCCGGAGAUGACGGAACGAAUGAGCUCUUCUUAUGACUCUUCGUGACAGACCUGAUUUCUCUUUCCUUUUCGUCGUUUGAAGCAAACCAGAAGGAGGAGUGGAGUAUUUUCUUAUAAACAAACAGAACAAACCAAGACUUUCAAACCGAAAAUUUCCAAUCCAAGUUUCAAACCCCCGAAUGAGAAGUCUAAGAAGAAAACUCAAUAUCAGACCAGUCUAAAGUCGAUUGAGAAGAGAAAACUUGAAAACAGAAAUUAAUCUUUCUUGCUCUAAAAAAUAAUUUCUAACACUCAAAACUCCAACACUCUAAAUUCUCAAACCCAAAAGUGUCCAACCCCCUUUACUGAAGACGCAGGGGGGUUUAUAUAGAAGAAGAGAGACUAGGGUUUCAAAUUCGGAUGGGUUCCAAGAAUUUCGGCCCAUUCCAAUUCAAAAUCUCAAAAUCUUAUCCGAAACUUCGAGCGGGAAGGGAGUUUGAGGCGAGGUGGAGGGCUGAGAUGAAAUCGUUGUCCUUGCGAGCUACGUGGCUCGAUCUCAGCUAACAAGGACGAAGGAGGACGCCCUUUCGUGUCGUCUUGUGCACUGCAGAGUCGCGCGACAGCUGCAGUGCAGGUUUCCGUUGCUGCGAGUUGGCUGGGCGUCCUUUCCGAAAACAUCGCGCGUGAGGGAGACGAAAAGGAGAGAGUGAGGGAGACGCGAGAGGGAGAGACGUGUCUGGGGAAGUUUCCGUUGGGGGGUCUGUUUUCUCUGCGUUCUUUCGUUUGAUUUUUUUCUGGGUUUCUGUUUUCCUGUUCUGGUAAUCGCUGGGGAAGAAGGAAGGGGAGGGGAACGGAUUUGGGUCGGAGCGGGUCAUAAGGUUAAUGGGUUGGGUAUUUAAGUGUUUUGGGCCGGUUCAGUGAUUGGGAGAGGAUGGGCUGCUGAUGGUGUUAAAGAGUUUAAGGGAGUUGGACCUGGGGAUUAAUUUCAGUGUUGGGUCGAGGGGGAUGGGUUUGGGCUGGAAUUAAAAGUUGGGUUGAAGAUUUAAAGUGGAAGAGGGUUUUUGGGCUGGGAGUGAGUAAACGAAAGUGGGCCUGGGAUUGGAAUAAGGUGAGGGGCCCAAAUUUGGCUCUUCCAAAUUGAAUGGAAGAAGAGUUCAAUUUAAAUAAUAGCCAAUUGAUUUAGAAACGAAUUUGGGUAUAAAUUUAUUAACUAGCCUAUUUAUUUGGUAACACAACUAUUUAAAUUAUAAAAUAAUGAUUCAAAAUAUAGUCGUGAUUUAAAGUAAACUAGAUUGAUAAAAUACUUUCUAAACUUAAGAUAUACAUAUAUACAUAUACAUAUACAUAUAUAUAUAUAUAUAUAUAUAUAUAUAUAUAUAUAUAUAUAUAUUUUAAUUUUCGCAAGAUUUAUAAAACUAAUUAACUUAAAUGAUUUGACAAACUCACGAAGCUCGAUAAUUAAUUUAUACCAACGUGGGUCAAAAAUUGGGUGUCAACAACAACUUAUACACAAAAAUUUUAUAAUUAUAUUUAAAAUAUGUAAUUUGUAAAAAAAAAAUUAUUUAUUUCUAAUAGAUUGAUGAACUUAGACUAGAACUCCUUUAUUGAAAAAAAUCAUGAAUUCAAACUCAUUUAAUGAAAAAAAAAUUAUUGAAAAAUCUUUGUUCUUUCGUGCAAGUUUUGUACAUAUAAGUGUUUAUGGUGAAAACGGAUACGGCGAAUAUAUAGGACCGGCGGCUUCAAACUUUAUACUGGAAUAUCUAGUAGCAAUUAGAUUUUAAAAUCGUAUUUAAAUUGUAUUAGACAAGUCUUGUGUUAUGAGUUUAAACGUGAAAAUAUACAUGAAAAUUUUGAAAAUAAAUUAUUCAUUUAAAAGAUCACCUACUCAAUCAAGUUGGCUAGUGUAUUUCAAACGAUUUUGAAUGAUUUUUUUGAUUUUUAAAAAUUAGACUCAGUAUUCACAUACACAUUUCACACUGACCUAAUCGCUUUGACGAUAUGCAUAUCUUACAACCAUAUAUAUUAUAUAAAUUGAAUUUUUUUGGUUUCUACAAUUGUCCAUUGUUGACCUUUAGUUUUAUUUUGUCCACAACUUCUUUUUUUUUUUUAAAAAAAAAUGCAUAGAUUUGCUUGAUAUAAAUACACCAUAAGUCUAAGACAAAACAUACAUCCUAGCUCCAAGCAGUUCAGAAAAUAAAAGCGAACAAUCAAGCAUGGCUAGUAGCAAAGUUGGUGUCCUCACUCUCUUUUUUCUAUGUGGUAUGUCAUUUACCUAUUAACAUUGAUCUACCUUUAUUUUCAUUCAAUAAAAUUGUUAUUUCAUGUAUCUUUGCCUUCAAAUUUAACAUUAUGUUAAUAGGCAAACACACAUGAAGUAUACCAAUUUCUACCUGAAUUAUUAUCAAUUAUAUUUAUCAAAACACACAUACAUAAACUAUCAUUUGUUCAUUUUUUUCUACCUAAAAUAUCAUCAUCGUUCAGGUAGCUAAGAAAAGUGAAUAACUUAUAAUUGAAGUGUGUUAUAACAAUAGUUAAUGAUAGUUCAAGUAGGAAAAGUAAACCACUAGUAUUCAAAACUCACAAAAAAUGAUACUUCAUAUGUGUUUUUGACCAGUAUUUAUAAUCAUUUUAAAUAAUUUUUUAAAAAAAAUUUGUUGUUGUUGGAACAGUUUUUGUAGUGGGAAGCAAUUAUGUGGAAGCUCAGAUUUGUCCACAAUUUUGUGAGCCAAAUGUGGAUUACAUGACUUGUUCCUCUUCAGGAAGCACAAUACUUCGUCCAACAUGUAUCAAUUGUUGUCAAGCAACAGGAAGGGGAUGCCAACUUUUCCGUAGAGAUGGCUCUACAAUAUGUAACUAGUAAAUCAUCUUUGAGAUUUAUCAAAGGGGAUAUAUAUUACUAAAUUUCCAAUAAAUUAUGAUAUAUAUAUAUAUGAAAAAUAAAUUCUGAGUCUAUACUUUACUCAGAUGACCUAUAUUAUAUUACAUAUAAUAAUGGAUUUUUAAUGUUUGUAUGCGCAUUUGUUUUUGAGUUAUCUAAGUGUGUGUAAAAAUCCAAAAGUAAAAAAUAAUUUUUGAUGAAGAGUAAGAGCUAUCAAAAAGGGCCGGCUCAGCCCCAUCCGAUCCCAAGUCUUGAUGGUUAAUGAAUUUGAAGGGUUAGGACGGGCAUGUUCUUCAUUCGGUAGGGCCUAAAAAUGCUCAACUCAGUCCAACCUUAGAAGGGCUAUGGGCUGGGGUGAACUGACAUUUUUUUUCUCUAUAAACUCAUAAUUCUUUAACAUCAAGAAAAUAAAAAGAUUUUCAAAUCAAAUAUGAAAAAUAAUGGUGUCGUUUCAAUAAGACUAACAAAAAAUUAUUGUGUAAUUAGCAUUUAUCUCGCAUACCAAAUACGUAAGUGAAAUAAGAGAGUGAUAAGCAAGAUGGGAGAAAGGUGAGGGCGCGAGAUUUGUCUAUGUAUGAUAGAUACAUGCAAAUCUACUUGGAUAAAAUGUAUCCAAAAUAAAUUAACUUAAUUUUGAGAUACAUGUAUCUAGAUGUACCGAAAUUCGGUAUGGAAUUUAUAACAUUACAACAUAGCUUGUAUUUAAGUAAUCAUAUUAUAUGCUAGUGAGAUUAUUGUAAGUUACCAUUAAAUAAAAAGUUUUGACCCAUGGGCCGACCUCAGCCUAGCCUCGAUCAAGCUUCAAGGACUAAAGAUUUAUGUGGAUCGAGUUUAUAAGCCCUAAUUUUAAAUGGGGUUGAAAAAUCUUAUCCCAAUCCUACUUCAAUAACGAAAUGGAUUGAAUCAGUCCUAUCGGAUAAGCUCAUUUUGACGGCUCUAAUAAAGAGUAAGCUUAAGCUAAUGAAUAUCACCUUGUUUUGCCAUUUAUGGAGAAUCUUUUAAUUUGUGAAAAAAAAAAUCAUUUUACAGUAUUUGAUAUCAAUUAAUUUUAUCUACUUCAAUCAUUUCAUUUUAUGUGUAGAAAUGAAUUUUAUAAAAAGUAUUAAAGAUUUUCACUUAUUAACUCAGAAAAUAACGACAAUUAACAAAAAUUGUAAAAUGACAAUUAAAAAGAAAUAAAAAAAAUUAAUAUAUGUAAUCUCAUGAAUGAUUUGAAAAUUAGAUAAAUUGACUCUUAAUAUAAUUUAAUUUAAAUUUGGAACUAGUCAAAUAGACUCAAAAAAUCUGCAGCAUGACAACUUUAAAAGAACGUAUACAUAAUAAAUAUCUUAUAAGGUUUGAAAACUAGUCAAAUUGUAACGUAACGAAAAGAUAAUUAAAAAAUUGAUAUAAUCUCUUGAAUUAUUUAAAAACUAGUUAGAUUAACUCUUAAAAUUUUUAUUUUAAAAUAUUAAAUUAAUAUAAUCUCAAUGUACUACUUGAUCUUUGGCAUUUAAUUCUUUUUACUAUAGAUACUCCCAGAAAUAGCAUACUCAAAGCAGAUUAAAAAAAAAGAAUUCAAUAAACAUAAUUAAUAGCAAAGUCGGUGUACUCACUCUCUUCCUCCUGUGUGGUACGCCUUCUCUUUUUCUUUUUAUUAAGAAUUUAAAUAUAUAUUUUAAAAUCAAAUUAUUAAUACUAAAUAUAGAAAUAUAUCAUUCUAUUAAAAAUUGUUUUAAAAAAAUAAAAUUUUACACAGAAAGAUAGUGUUAUUUUAUCAUUCUAUGCCAAUAAUUACUAAUAUUAUGUUUGUGUUUGCAAUAGUUUUGAUGGUGGAAAUAAAUGAAGUGCGAGUGUACAAUGGAAUGUUCAAUUUGGGUGAUGUACAUGGCUUGCCCAUCACCAAAGGGAUGCGGACUUUAUGGUGAUUUUAAAUUAUUAUGUAAACCUUUUUUGACAAUUGUCAAAAGGGAUAGUAAUUACUUUUGUUUUUUUUUAAAAAAUAAUCAAUUAUAUUUCAUUGACUUUUUAUAGUAUAUUUAAUACAUAUGUAACAAAACUUGGACAUUAUAUAUAGGACAGUACAAUUCUAAUGAGAAUGGUAUAGUCACACAUACAUAUCUAAGCACCCAAGCGCACUUAGAAAGAGCAUUUCGGCUUCAGGGAUCGAGUUCUGAACAUGAAAAAGUUUGUAGUGAGGAGUGUUAUUUUUUAAUGUGUUUUACCUAACGGCUAGUAGAAAUUAGAUUAGUCAGACUUUAAUUUGAAUAUUGAAUACUGAAUGAGAACAUUGAGAAAUAACUAUAACUAGUUAAUAAUAAAUUUAAUGAUUUAGAAAAUCCGUUGAGAAAUGACUAUAGCUAGUUAAUAGUAAGAAUAUCUUAUAAGUGAACAAGUAAAAGUGAGAAGUAAAAAUUAAGUCAAAUAUAAAGACAAUUUGAAAAAAAACAUUAUUUUAUCAAUUUUUGCCAAUCAUAUAAAGAGUUUAUGAGCGCAAGUAUUGAACACUAACUAGGUGUUGGACAUGAACUUUUGAAAUCAUAAUUUAAAAUUAAUAUUAAUCUCUUUUUGGUCAAAGUAGAAAGGUCCAUUGAAAUUCAUAAAAUAUAAGUAACUUUACUUUUUCUUUUUCUUCAUAAUAUUGACUUACUGAUAUUGUUGCUUUUUAUUCGUACAUUAAUUGCCUUAUAGCUUGAUGUAGCCAUUUGUGUUGUUUGAUUAUUUUUUAUGUUCUUUCAUUGUGGAGAUUACAGAGUCUAUGAGAUGUACGUCCAACAACAGGUUGAUGUAUGUAUGUAUUAUGUGGGUGUAUUGGAUCUAGGUUUGCAUGGAUUUGUUUUUUGUGCUACGUCAUAUCAAGCCUUAACGUGUGUAUAUUAUGUAAAUCUAAGUUAUGUCUUAUAAAAUUUGGAAAAGGUAUAGAUUUUUUUUUAAUUUGUAUUGAAAAAUCAGUUACACGCUUAAACUAUUAUGAUGAGCUAUUACAAAUCUCUGCUAUUUAAAAGUGAAUUUAUUUACUCCCUAAAACUGACAUGAAAAAAUAAUAAUUAUUAUUAUUAAAAAAGGUGCACGUCAGGUCAUUAAAAAAGUAAAAGAAAAUCAAAAUACUUACUACACCCCACCCCUACAUCUCUUCUUCUUCACACUCCAUCAUCUUCAUCUUCUUCACACCCCAUUAAACUUAAAAUAAAUCAAUAAUAAGAAGCAAUCAAGAAACAAAUUACUUUAAAUAGGAGAAAAUUUUUGAGAGGUUUCAAUUUUUGGAGCUUUGUCGGACAUUUUGAGUGAAUUGGAUGAUCGAUUGAAAUGUGAAGAAAAUUAUUUUUCGAUUAUCUUGAUUUUUUAAGAAACCUCCACCAGAAAACAUGGAAAAAGAACAAAGAAAUAUAUGGCCAAAUUUAUUAUUUACAACUACAAACCGCAACAAACAACAACGGAAGCUCAUUUUUUAUGACCAAUCAAUGAAAGAAAUUGAAAGAAAAAAUUGAAGUAACCUUCUUGUGGGUACAUUUUAAAAUGGAAGAACUCUUCAACUCUACGGCUAAACUCCAGAUUUUGGAUAAUUUUUUUUGAUGGUCAUUCCUAAAAGUUUCUUGUUUACCAUUUUGCUAUGAAGAAGACAUAAUCAUUAGAAAACUACAAUAAUUAAUUAGAAAUUAAUUAGUGUAAACUAUAGUUCAUAAAUUAAAAAAUAAUUAAUAAAGAAAAGAAAGUAAAAAAGAUUUUAAAAAUGCAAUUUCUGACGUGGUGCUAAUGUGGCAGCGAGUGUAAUACACUGCAUAUUCUGAGAGUAGUGUUGCACAUAUCAGUGUGGUAUUAAAUUCACUUUGAAGUAGUUAGGGUGUGUAAUAGAUCGUUAUGAUAGUUAAAGUGUGUAACUGACUUUUCAGUAUAAGUUUAGGGAGAAAUUUAUGCAUUUUCCCUAUAAAAUUUUUUACUUUCCUCUCUCAUUAUGAUGUAUAAGAUAUCAUGUGCACCUCAUCUUCAAAAGCUUGUCAUCCUAAAAGUCUGUCAAUUCUGCUUGAUUUGUCCUGAUCAACCUAGCCUACAUCAUGAGCGUCACAUACACCUCCUUAGGAACUCAGCAUACUCAUUAAGGUUCGCCUCAAUAUCAUAGUAAUGGAGUACAAGCUUUGCUCUAAGCCUAGACCCGCACGAAUUUGUCUUCUAGGCUAGUCCAUAUUGAACCCCAAAAACACAUAUACCUUCCAAACUUUGAGAUAUGAUUUACAUAGCUCUUCACUUUUUUCUCCCAUUUUUCUUAGCCUAGAAGUCUACAUCAAUCCUACUUGACAUGCCCUCAUCCACGCCCCGUCCUAUGUCACAAACAUUACAUGAUACACCAAACAAAAUAGUAUUGCAGUUCGUGUAAGCCAAGGGUCUCAAAGUUUAUUGACCCCUUUCUUACUAGUUAUUGCUGAGAGGUGAACACCAUCUUGGAUUAAGUGAAGACAAGCUAAGUUAUAUAAAGAUUAAUGAUGAAACACACUAAGAAAUCAACUAGUAACAUGAAUUCAUUAUAUAUGAAUUUUAAUAAGGAAAAGAGAACCAAGAUACAUUACAAAAGCAACAUUAGUGCUUUUAAUUGAUUUUAUUCAUACAUUAUUAUUAGCUUUAAAUUUAAAGAUGUCUUCUCUUUCCCAACAAAAAUACUAAGUAAUAUAAGUUGUUUAUGCUUAAUAUUCCCUUGUCGAUAUUUUAGAAAGAGGAACCAUCAAGGCAUAUCCAUUCACCAACGAACAUUUUUUCACAAUUGAGAUUGGGAUUGAAAGUUGUAAAGUCCUUAGCAGACACACUAAAUUGUUGCAUAAUGCUGAAGCAUGUAUCUCCAAUAUUUGCACCAUAAAUCUUGCUACAUAUCAGAGCAGAAUUCGUCUCAAUUCUAGCUGCGAUCAUCACGAAAAUAAUUAUGGAGAAAUAAAUUAAUAGACAAUUUAACUAAAAUACUAAGUAAAAAUUAGGCUAGAUAUUAGUAGGUUAAAAUUUAGGCAUAAUACAUAUAUGUGUUCUUUAAUUUUGUGUUAUUUCAUGUUUAUGCCCUCCAAUUUUAUACGUACUAAUCACUUGAACUUGUGUAAAGUGGAAAAAGUAGACACGUGAUCCUAUAUGACAUAAUACACAUAAAGUACCAUGUAAUACGCAAAUUGACAUGUAGGAUGUCACGUAAGACGUGCGUGUCUAUUUAUUCAAUUUUGUAUAAGUUCAAGUGUUCACUUGUGCACAACCGAAAUCGAAGGGGUUAAAUAUGAAUUGAAGCCAAAUUAAAGGACAUAUUUACGGAUUAUGUGAUACUUACAUGAAACAAUUCUACUUUCUGCUAUGUUAACGGAGAGAAGGAACAAUAGAACAAAGCUGAAAAACAUGGUUAAUUUGUAGCUUGAUCUGGCCAUUUCUGCUAUUUAAUUGGAAAAAAAAUUUAAUUUUUGUGUUCUUUCCUAGUUUUUCUUGUCCUUUGGGUGGAUUACUUUGAUAAUAAUGUCAUUGCUUUUAUAGUGAAUUUACUUUGGAUGGUCAUCAACUUGAGAUAAAAAAUAUUAACAUUGUUGAGGAGAUUACAGAGUCUAUAACUCUGUUUUCUUCUCCAUUGCCCCCCAUUUUAUUUUUGUUGUUGUUGUUGCUCUUUCAUUGAGAUCUCCGUCCAGCAGGUGGUCCAUGUAAUCUUUGAAAUUUAAUGUCACAACUAAAGUCCAUAACAUGUAUUUUAUUGGGGUGUAUUGGACCUAGAUCUGCAUGAAUUUGUGGCUACGACAUAUAAAGCCUCAAAUGGCCCGUUUUGAUCCAACCUGUUUUAAUCCUAGCAAAUUUGGAUUGGAUUAUUGAGUUUCUCUUUGAAUUUGCUUUGGCAAAUGGGUUUAACGUGAAGUUUAAAGCCUCAAAUAUACUCGUGGAAGAUGCGAUAUACAUUUGAAAUAUGCGUUGUAUAUAAUUUAUAUACCUGAUAUACAACAAAAUGGGUCAAAAGCUUCAAAACUCAGCAACUGAAGGGCCCAACGGCUGGUCCAAGUGGACAGAAAUUAGACAUGGAUCUAAUUUCCUUUUCUCUAGGCUUAUUUAGCUGCCUAAUUAUAUUUUUUAUUGGGUAAUAUUACUGCUUGUUUACCUAUAAUUGUCAUUAUUUGUUUAAAUUCCACAAAUUAUAUAUUGUCGCAAUUCAUGUUAUACAACUCCGUGACAUGACAAAUAGAAGGAAAAGAGCGAUUAUAUGACUAUUCGCAGUCAUUUUUUUAGAAAAAUAUCCUACUUUUUGGAGUAACAAAUGGAUAAUUGAUCCAUGAUCAUUCAAUAUCGUUUAUUAUCUUUACCUUGCCAUUUGUCCGAUUUACAUAACCAGUUUUUUUUUUUUUAAUAAAGCUCAUUAUUUGUUAACUAACAUAGAACAAAGUCAAAAUCAUGAUUUGGUGCAUUGAUCUAAAAUGACCUAAUACCCUAGAUGUAUUGGGUUCAUUAGAAAUAUCGAAUUUAGUCCAAAACAACCUUGACCUAAAUGAGUGUUCAUGUUUAUGUGUUUAUAAUUUAUAGAAUAAUAUGUGUCACGAGAAAAAAUCAUUAUUCUUCGAGGUUGUAAGUUUAUUUUAAUUUAAAAAAUAAACCUUCACGAGCUGCUGUCCAAGAAAAGGACUUGAUUAUUUAUAUUCCAUUUUUUUCUAUUAUGUAUCCCUAUUCAAUUUAUUUCAAUAAAGUUUAUAUAGAUAUUAUUCAUGGUGCCACAAGCCUUGAAAUGAUACGAAAAAACACUUAUAAUCAGUGUGCCCCGCCAAUAGUAAAGCUUUUCUAGGAAGUUGGCAAAAAAAAUAAAUUAAAAUUGGCUUUACAGGAUCAUGUAAAGCUCCUUAUAAAUGGACUUUUGUUUUGUCCAAGAGGUGCAGAUUGUUACGAUGAUAUUGAGUGCAAAAUUUGAUAUGUGAAUGUUAGAAAUUGUAUUAAUUUCUAGGACGAAAAUUUAAGACACCAAAAAUAAAAAGACAAAGAAAUGCUGCAUUAUCACUUAUCAGUAACAUAUUUAUGAAUUAUUACUGUCGAUUGAUAUUGAUAUACUACUAACUUGCUAGGCUCCACAUAAUAAAGCAAUGGUUUAAAUUACUAGAAUAAUAAAAAUGUGAUUCUCCAUCAAACUGGACUUUUCUUGUAUAAUACUAGACGAAGACAAUUACAAGAAAAUUAAGGUCCAAGAUUUAAUCAGAUACUGAAGUCUAUUGUAAGAAAGUAAAAAAAAAAAAGAAAGAGACGUAUUGAAAAUAUUUAUAAUUCAGCGUAAGUAGGGGUGUCAAAUGAGCGGGUCAGGUUGAAAUUGAAAAUAUUAUAAUGGGUUGAAUUGAAAUCGGGUUGGGUCUUGACCCAUCUAAGUUUAUUUUGAGCUCAAAUGGGCUAAAUAACGAGUUGGGUCUUGACCCACCCAAUUUGACCCGAUUAAUCUCAAUAAUUUAACAUAUUGAUGAUUCACUUUUAUAAUCACAAUUUGAAUUUCCGCUCAAGAUUCUUUUGUUAAAAAAGUAACAAAUUGAUAGAUAAAUCCUAAAAGAUGUUGAAUAAAUAAUAAUUCAUACCUUCAACAUAGGAACAUAUCUUAAUAAAAAAAUUAGAACUUGAAUUGUGCUCAAUUGAGAAUUUUCUUCAAAUGAGUUAAACUUGAUGGGUUGAGAUUGAACCUAUUUCAUUAUCUUGAGCCCAACCCUUAAAAUUCUGGGCGGAUUGGACGGGUUACGUAUCUUUGGGUUCAUUUUUGACACCCCUAGGCGU
This 58218-nucleotide long non-coding RNA is filed under the name Solanum lycopersicum (tomato). The record is from RNAcentral. Lineage: Eukaryota; Viridiplantae; Streptophyta; Magnoliopsida; Solanales; Solanaceae.